UCUUUAUCUCUUAUUUAAAAAAAAAAAAGGAAAUUAGAAGAGAAAGUUUUAAAUGAUGGACAAACACUCCUAAAAAGUGGGUACCGGACACCGGAUGGUUUAAACCAAAAAAAAAAAAAUGAAAAUCAAAGAAUUUUCUUAGUUAAUUUGUUUGUAGUUUAAAGAGGAAGUUGGGGGAUUUUUUAAAAUUUUCUUUUCCUAUUAUAUACUUCUAUAAGAUUAAGGAAAAGAAAGGGGACAUCGAAAGAAAGAAUUAAAAUUCCUUUUCACGCUUAUUGUGUAAAGACAGAAAGAAUGCAAUUAAAAAAUUAAUCAAAUUGAAACUAAUAGAAUAUCCAAAUAUGAAAUAUAAUAUUUAAAUUUCAAAUUUGACACUAUCAUGAGGGUUUAGGUUCCAUGCAAGUAGAAAAUUCUAUCCAUACGUGGAAAUUCAAAAAAUAACUACUUCUUUCGUUUCAAAUUAGUUGUCAUGUUUCGCUUCUAGACAGUUAAUUUGACUAAUUAUUUAAGCUAAAGUACGUAGAUUAGAUCAACACAAUAUCUUAAAAUGAAAAUUUAACAUAUUACUAUACAAAAACUACUACAGUUGCAAUAUUUCUCAUGUCAAAAUUAUGAAAAUAUACACGACUUAGUUUAACUCUUGAAAAACAAAACAUGACAAUUAAUUUAUGAGGAGGAGAGUAAUAAUCAGAUGAAACAACAUUAAUCAUCAUAAAUUCUCAUUGAUCAUCGACAAAGUUAAUUACAUAAUGCACAUUUUGAAUAUAAUUGAAGACAUCCAAAACUGGCAAUCAGCAAAUAUAUAAAGCUCCCAUUAUUGAAUACUGAGUUGAAUUUAACUAUAUAGACUGACAUCACAAUUUUUUUGUUUUCAUAACUUAAACUCUUACAAACAUAAUGUACAUACUAUACAAGCAAUAAAAACAUUAUUACUAAUAAUACACCACACAUACGUCCAUGUAACGUUGCAUGCUCAUCAUUUGUCCUACAACAUAUUUUCCGAUGGCGCGGUCACCGCAAUUCCAAGAACCGGUGAGUACUCCCUCACCUCCGGCAAAUACAUCGUCACCGGAGACCGUUGACGAUGCAUUGCCAAAACAUAUGAAGCAUCCAAUUUAAUAGCAAUAUUGACAACUCCAUGACCUCUUGAACCAUCUUUAUUUCUUAACCUAUAACUAAAUUGCCUAACAAAAUCUACUGGAAUUAACCCAUCGAAAACAUCGGUAGGUGAAAUCAUACACCACCCUAGUUCACUCUUACCCUUAAGGAAAUUUUUAGAAUAUAGUUGAAUGUAUAUACAUAUAUGUCCAUGUAAAAAUAGACUAGGGUUAAUAGAUAGAUGAAAUUUAUCGCCCCACGUAGGGUUAUUAUUAUUGUUGUUGUUAUUGCUGCUGCUAUUGUCACCUAUAUUUUCAUCAAUGCUUGUUGUGUGAACUUCGGUGACGGUGGUGGUGUUGGUGGAGGUGGUAGGGACCGUGGACACGGUGGCGUAAGGGCGGAGCCGCCACGGCCAAGUGGGGGUGUUCUUGAGGUCAUGAGCUGAUAUGAUAGUGAUUUCCAUGGAACAAAAAAAUAAAAAUAUAAAAGAGAAGAAGAAAUUAAAGAAUUAUGUGUAUGAUGCAAUUUGAAUUUUGAUGGCUGUUUUAAUAAUAACGUGGGACGAUACACCCAUGCAACUUCGCAUGUGGAAAAUUUUUUUGGUGGAUUUGAAAUGUAAACGUUAAAUACUUUGUCACUCAAAAUUUACGUGUUAUCAUGGUCGUUUAUAUGACUAUAAAUAUCAUUCACAACAAUAAUAAUAUAUCUGAUAUAUUUGGUAAAUUCAUAAAUCGGAGUUUGGGUAGGGUAAAAUGUACACGAACCUUACCUCUACUACCUCAGCGAGAGAUUGUUUCAAACAAACUCUCGAUAAUAAAUCAUCUAAUCAAAAAUAAAUAUUGAAAUUUACAACAAUAACAUACCUAAUAGAAUUUCUUAAAGUGUUUGAAGAGGAUAUAGAUUAGAGUGUACACGGUCUUUACCCUAUUUCAGAGGUAGAGUGCGAGGUUGUUUUGGAUAGAUAAUCCUCGGAUCAUAAAUAUUAAAUUUAAAAUUAAAUUAUUUUUAAAUAUAAAAAAAUGAUAUCUUUUAACUACCAACACUAAAAAAAAUAUGUCACAUUAAUGGAGAUAGAGGAAGUAAAAGGCCAGCUGUUUGGAUUUAAUGUGUAAAUAGAGGAAAAUUCUUCAAUAGAUAUAUGUGAGUUGUGACCUAAAAUAUAAAAAGUGGCCAACCAUUUGAAAAUUAAUUAGUCUGAAAAAAAAUGAGGCCCACGACAAUAUUUUUACUCUAUGAAUUCUUUCUAGGAAAUAACUAGCUAGUUGAUGCACUUGCAAUAAGAUGAGCAUUGAAAAAAAAAUGAAGAAAAUUGUUUGUUUUUAAAUAUAUUUCAAUGCCCUAUCUCCUAAAACAUUAUGUGCACAAGACUAGUUGGAGUGUGUAUAUUGUUUGGUAUGGAGGAAAAUAUUUUUGAUUUUUUUUACUAUUUUUUUGGAUAAAAUUUUAGAAAAAAUGAAAAAAAUUACGUUCUCAUGAAAAUAAGAAAAUUCACAAGUGGCACUUCGCAGGUUGUAUCCUACCCAUCCUUCAACACACCUCAUCUUCGUCUACGGUCUAUAGACCACACAUCCUCCUUCACCUUGGCCGCCACAGGAGCGGACCCACAUGUAUAGAUGGGGGUGCACGUGCAUCUGUUAACGUAGAAAAAAAUUGUAUGUAUAUAUCUUGAGAAAUUGGAAUAUAGGUAAUAGUGCACACAGGGAAAGUUGAAAGUGCACCUUGAUGUAUGAUGAACAAGGCUUUACCAUUAAGCUACCACAAUCAAUUGAUCAAAAAUGUUAAAAGUCAACAUAUUUGUUGAACUUCAUAUUUUAAAAAAGUAAAUUAAAGUUAUUAACUUAGAACUCAUAUCUGUUUUAUAUAUUUAUUUUUUCAGAAUUAUUCAUGUCAUUGACGACCAAUUGAAUAUGAUAAUAUUCUUUAAUCGACACUGAAGGUUUUGCUAACGUCUAUGUUAAGAUAAUAUUAGUGCACCACAGUAUUAUCAAAAACAAAAAGCGCAAAAAAGUUUCAAGGUCCAUUGUGUUUAAGCACAAAAUACAAAUAAAGCGUGAGAUUAAACGAAUAAAGGCAUAAAGGGAGAAAAAAAUAUAAAUAUAUGUAUAGUCCAAGACUAAUAAUAUAAGCAUGAAUAACAAAUAUAUGAACAAAGAUUUUUUUUUUUUAUAUAAAGUGAAAUAUCAAUUGUUUAGUGUUCGUCUCUUCAGAAAGCCUCAUUGACACGGGAAAGUAUAUCUUAGAAAUUAGAACCUAAACUGCACAUUAAGUGAGGCAAGCACUCCAACCCAUUUUGAGUCUUGCUUCAGGGCUUAUGUGCACCUUUGACAACACUGGUGCACCCACAGACUUCAAAUCCUGAGUUCGCCUCUGGGCCGCCAGGGGCGAAGCCAGUCUUCUGUUCGGGGGUUCGGCCGAAUCCCCUUCGUCGAAAAAAUAUACUAUUUAUGUAUGAUUAAAAUUAUUAUUUUUAUGUAGUUAUAGUAGGUGUUGAACCCCCUUCGAUUAAGUUUUCUUUGAAUAUUGAACCCCCUUAGUUGAAAUUCUGACUCCGCCUCUGUCAGCCGCUCCAGUCCCACGCCCUAUCCCCUCCACAAUCCGCAUUGAAUGAGUGGUGACUGGAGUGUUGUUUGGGAGUGUGGAAUGCGGAGGGUGGGGGCGAGGGCAAGAGCAUAAGGUCGUUGGAGGUGGAAAAGAAAAUUAAUAUGAAAUAUCACUUGUGGAAUUUACUAUUGGGUGUGUUUGGUAUGAUGGAAAAUAUUUUCCAUGGAAAAUGUUUUCUUGGAAAAUGUUUUCCUGGAAAAUAAGUUGGUUUUCUACUUAUUUUUUCAUGUUUGGUUGGUGAAUGGAAAAUAUUUUUCGAAAAAUAUUUUAUGGUGUUUGGUUGGUGAGUAGAGAAUAUUUUUGAGAAAAAUAUUUUCUAGUGUUCAAUUAGUGAGUGAAAUUUUUUUUUUCAGAAAACACUACUAUCUGUUAACUAGUAUAUCAGUGCCUCUAGCAACUCAACAAUUUGUAAGAACUAAUUUAAGCAUAACAAAUAAUAUCAAUAUCGAAUACUAAAAUAUUACAAUCACUAAAUUUAAGCAACUAAUAAUUAGCAAAUAUAGGAGACAAUUUUCAACAUUUUGUUAGGACAAUAUCAAGAUACUACAAUUAAUAGAAAUAUAACAAAACGACAAACUUAUUCAACCUCGUGAAACACGUUACAUCGAUAACAAAAUGAAAUAUACAAUUAACAAAAGUAACAUAAUUAAGUCUUCCUCUAUACAUAUGAAAAUAACAAUAUAUUCAACGAAUUGAAAAUGGAAAAAAUUCGGAUUUCACUAUUUUUUAUUUCAAGCAGUGAAAAAUUGAAGCAAAACACGGUGAAAAACAUUUCUGAGUAAUGUAACUUUUUGAAAAAUAUGAAUCUUUUGAGUCAUGUGAAUAUAAAUGUUGUUGGGGUGGGAAGAGGAGUUGAGGUGGGGUCAUAAGUCACAUUUGUUAUUUUCUGAAAAAUGAUUUUCCUUGGCCCAUGAGGAAAGUUAUUUUCCAUCAAAUGGUGGAAAUAAGUUGUCUUAGAAAAUAUUUUCCUAAACUUUUGUUGCAACCAAACAAGGGAAAACUGGAAAAUAUUUUCCAUCAUACCAAACACACCCUUCGUUUUCUUGAUUUUCAAAGAUGUUCUUUUUGGAGGAAAUGUAUUUUUUAAUUCAUUAUGACCAAUCAAGCAUUAAAAAAUUAGAAAAAAUCAUCCUCAUUACAUCUUUUUUUACCAGUAAAAUUAAAUAGGAAAAAAAAAUUGUGUCAUUUCUAAGUAGAAGGUUUACUGACAAGUCAAGAAUUUUUCCAUGAGGGGCCAAGAAAAAAAAAGUGAAAAAAUGAUUGAUAAAUAAGCAGUUGUCAUAUUCGUAUAUAUAGAGAUUCCAAGUGACUUUUUCCACAAUCAAAAGAUAGGAUUAGAAGAUUUCCCAUUUUUUAAUUUAUUUAAUUUCUUAUUCUUUAUUAUGUGGAAAUUGAAAUAGUAAAAGUGUAAUUUUAUUAUUAAUUAAUUUAUUUGUUUAAUGUUUAUCAAAGGGGACAAAGUGAAAACAAAAAGAAGAUAAUAUUUGUCUUUAAAGUAGUCAACACUCACUUCAAGAUUUCCAUAGCCCCAUUACAAGGAUCUUCCACACAAUUGCCAUUCAAUUUCUUCACUCAAUUCAUGUUGUUGAAGUUUUGUUGAAAAAGUUAACCAAAACAAAAAAAAGUUUUGCUAAAAGUUAAAGACAAAUACGAACAUAUUUGCUACUAGCAAAUGUAUACGAAUAAUCUCAAAGUAUUAAGGGAUAAUUAAAUUAAGAUAUUUAUACAAGGAUGGUAAAGUUGAUGUCAUAUGACCAGGAGGUCACGGGUUCAAGCCUUGGAAACAACCUCUGGCAGAAAUGCAAGGUAAGGCUGCGUACGAUACACCCUUAUGGUGGGACUUUUUCCUAAACAUCGUACAUAACGGCAGCUUUAAUGCACCGGACUACUUUUUUUUUUAUACAAAGGAUGGUAAAAUUAAAAUAUUUAUACAGUAAGAGAUUGUACGUUUGAUAUGUUGAACAAGCAUUAAUAGUGCUGAAAUAAGAUAUUGGUAUUGUCAUAUAUCAUUUGUUUGAGAUGCCCAAACAAAUGAGUUAUUCCUUCGAGAGGCUAGGAUAUGUUAUAUCAAGAUUAAUAAAUAAUAUCAAAAUGAGUUAUUCUUUGACGAAGCUGGAAUAAUAGUAUGGGGUAAGUAUUUUGAGAUAAAAUAAUUAAAGUAACAAAGAUAUUUUUGAGAUUCCUCAAACCCUUGUUCUGCUUAAUAAGGUGGAAGAUAUAUUUGAAAAUAAAUAACUUCUUAGAAAUUAUACAAAACACACUAUUUCUCGCGCAACAAAUCAAAUAAUUAAUAAUAAGUUCCAUCAUAAAUGAUGUGAUUGCCAUUAUAACCCAAAAAAAACACGUACCACACAUUCACCAUGUACCAUUAAAUGUUUAUUAUUUGGUGAAUUACUUUAUUUCAUGUUGUAGUAUUAAAUUACAAAACUAUUUUUUUUUUCUGUUUGCAAUUCCUCAUCCUCUAGUGAAACCUAGGGGAGGUCAUAUUCAUUUGCAUUUGUACUGUACUUAGGGAGGAUGUUGAAUAUUGGUUGGAUUUUUCGGUUUUCGAAUUGAUGAAAAUGAUAAUUAUAAUCAAACUAAAAUUAUUUUGGUUAAUUUGGUUCGGUUUUUAUAAAUUCGGUUCGGUUAUUUCGGAUUUUUAUUUCGAUUUUAAAGAUGAAAGUAGUGAGCAUUUAAAAUUGGCGAUUUUUCUAGAAAAAUAAUCACUUUUUCAAACCUAUUUUUCAUUAACAAAUAUAAUUCAUUCACCACUCAUGAAAUAACCAAAAAUAUCGACCUCGCUGAGUCGUCGCCGUUGGCGAGACAUCAGUGGCCGCACUCAAUAGCAACUGCUAACGGCAGUGACGAACUGAGCAAACGACUGUCGACUGCCUUUGGCGAUGUUGAAAUUUCAAAUGAACUAACAAAUUGAGGAUGACUGAGCGCCACUGCAGCUUUCACGUUAAUGUUAGGGUCUAAAGUAAAGCAGUAUAUUAGGAUUUAGGGUCACUGAAUGAUUAUAAUUUAUAUAUUUACAUGUUAUAUCUCAUUAUAUUAUAUUUUUAGUAUAUGUACAUAUAAUAUAAUAUAUAUAUAUAUAAAUUAUAAUAUAUUAUUUAUAUAAUUUUGAUUUUUUGAUUUAUUCAUUUUUUUUGAAAAUGCGAAAACCAAACCGUUUUACCGAAUUUCUAAAAUUUGAAACCGAAAUCAAUCCGAAAAAUCGAAAAAUCAAACCAAAAUUAAAUUUUGAUUCGUUUUUUCGAUUGUUUCGGUUUAAACCAAAAUAUGUCCAGCCCUAACUGUACUAUAUAAAGAAUUUGAGCAUUUUGGUCUAAAAUGAAAAAAAAAUUAAUGGACAAACAGAUAUUACCAAAAAAUUCAAUGAUCAAUUGAGAUGUUUAUAUAUGCAUGCUAUUGAUUUAAUUCCCAAUAUUUUUUGCGUAAAUGAUCAGAUCUAGUGGGCAGAGAAAAGCAACAUCAAUAAAAGAAAAUAUAGUCAAUUACGCCUUCGAAUUAAUAUUUUCUUAAAAACGUGUAGAUAAAAAAUACGAUAAAUAUAAUACAUACCAGUGUCAUAAAAGUGUGGCCAAGGAUUUUGCCAAAUAAAUGGAGGUGUUAUUGUGUUUUAUUGCCUAUGUUACUUCUUUGACUCAUCAAUUUAAUUUAUAGUCUACAUACGAUUUAUCUUCCUUUUUGUUUACAUAUUUCAUUUUAAAAGUUGACAAAUAUCUUAUUAUUUGAUCUCUUUAGAUUUUGUAUUUUCUUAAUGAAAAAAGAAUUAAAAGCACAAGUAGCAAAGAUUUGGUCUGAAAAAUCAUGAAUGAAUGUAAUGCUGCAAGUAAUUAAUUAUAAUUAAAUCGUCAUUUAAAGUUAAUAAUAGUUUGUUCGAUGUGGCUCAUCUUAAGCUUAUCGAGGAUAUAUAUAUAUAUAUAUAUAUAUAUAUAUAUAUAUAUAUAUAUAAUUUUAGGUGGAUCUGAAGAUUACAAAUUUCGAUAAAAUUAUUGUCAUCAGUUGAUAGUUAUGUGUUCUUUCAUUUUUCUGCGAGGUAGACUUGGUGGUCAUACUUGGACCUUAAGUAUUUUCAUAGUUUCUUUUUCUUCUAUUUUGAUUGUCAUUGAUGUUUUUGUGCUUCACUAUCACAUAUUUUAUGUUUGAUUACUAUAUUAUUUACUACUCUCAAUUCAGAUUAUACUAUUAUUGUUACUGCCUCUCAUUUACUUUUUUUUUUUUCAAAUUGUUUGAACAUACUUUAGCUUGACUAUUUACCAUAUGUAAGAAUGAAAUCUGCAUACGCUUUAUCUUUUCUAAAUCCACAUAUAAAACCACACAAAAUAUAUUACUAUAAUAGUUUAUUCGCUUUGGAACGAAGAAGCAAUUAGGAUAUUUUCAGUGUAUAGCACUAAUUAUUCAUUUUUAUUAUUUCUAUACUGAUAUUAGUGAUGAAUGGUAACUCUCUUCAGUUAUUUCUUAAAUGGGCCAAUGGAGUAGCAAUCAUAUACUAUGUUACAUGUCUAAUUUACACUUCCGGGAAAUAAAGUAACUUUAAAGCUAUAGUUGUAUCAUUGUUGAGGAGCCAAUUUCCUUUAUUAGGUCCUUUAGGUUUUACAGAUUAAUUGGUACUAAUUAUGUAAAUAACAUAUUUUUCCACCAGUACCAUACUCAUCAAUUCAUCAUAAGUAAAUCAGUAAACGAUUAUAUAUAAUGUUUCUAACAAGACGAUGUUUAUGGUACAUUACCAACAUUUUUUUUCUCUGGAGCCCUAGCUAAUUAAAUUCACCCUGCGUACCGUCCAUUUCUACUAGAACAGGAAUGGUCUGUCAGACAGCCAUUAGACCGUCUCAACACCCAUGGUUUGAGCUGAAAAUGAUCAUCUAUGGCGUCAUGAUCUGUAUGCCAUGGAAGCUGUUAAUCACACUCUAGUCUGAUGACCAAGAUUCAUGAAGGAACAUAGCUAUGUAUAUCGAAAGAUUGACAACACCCUAUGGCCCAAAUGCCAUUAAAGCUGUCGAUCACGCUCUAAUCUAAAGACCACAAUUCAUCCUGCAGCAUAGCUAUAUACAUCGAAGGAAGAUAAUCUAUGACCCAAAUGCCAUGGAAGUUGUUAUCACACUUUGGUAUAAUGACCAUGACUCAUCAAGGGGCUCAACUAUGUAUUAUAUUAUAGAGUGGUCAGUCAAAAAGAGUUGCUAUGUGUUUAGGUUUAGGUUAACUGUUACUUUUAUAAUACUAUAACCUUGAAAGUAUCUCUAAACAAAAUUUCUGAAUUCAGCUACCCGACUUGAUUUCCUAUCUUCGAAAGAUACAUAGUGUUACGAGCCGAUAGGAACAUAUCCUAUUCUAGUAAGAUAGUAAAACAUGUUCUAAGAAGAGCUAUAAAAAGAACACAAAAUAGCAUCAAAAAAAGAAAACAUAAAAGAGCAAAAUUCAGUAAAUAUACUAACAACAAUUAACUUACAAUUACAACAUUAUUUUUUUUCUCAAUUAGGUACAAACAAUUGUCUAGCCAAAAAUUCCUUGGCACCUAAACUGUUACAUAAAUAGUUCCCAUCCCAACUAAUUACUUUGACUAAAUUCACCACCCUCACCUCCCCCCCUUUUCCACACACCCCACAUAUGUCAUCUUUUUCAACUAUGCCAUCUCACCACCUCCUACUUUUCCAAUCCAAUAAUUAUGGAUCAUCAUUUUAAAAAGCCACUUUUUUUCUCCUUUUCCACCUUUUAUACGAAAAAUAUUUAUCUAAUAUAGUGACCCCUUUUUUUAAAAGCCAUUGACCCACUCUCUUCCAACUUCUAGAAACCACCAGAACCAACAUUUGAUAAUUACCUUCCAAUUGUACACGUGUUCUUUAUCAACAACAUCCCCUUCACCUUUCUCGUUUAUCUAGCAAUUGCUUAAGUGGUCCCCGCCAUUGGUUAAUUUAUCAUCAUCAUAUCCAUUGUUGAUCAUCAUGAUGAGCGCUUCCUGAAUCUAACGGCUCCGAUUUCACAUCAGAUCCAUGCGGUUGUACUUGAUCCUGGCACCUUCCUUCUCGAUCAGAUUCUUCGUCGUUACUUCUUCUCACGCGCUUUACACCUAGUGAUACUCCGAACAGCCGCGGGUUUAUAUCUUCCUCCGCCGUAUCGGCCGCGCCGCCUUCAACCUCCGCCGUAACCUGCCCCGUACGUAGCAAUUCUAAAGCUCGUCCUUCCGGUAUUCCCGCCGGAAUCUCCGCCGGAUUGGCCGUGAAAUUCGACAUGAGAUUAUACACAUUACUGCAUAAACCUCGUAACCGAUUCAACUCCUGGCUCAAUUGAGCAUUCUCCUUUCUCAGCCGUUCGUUUUCCUCUAUAAGAUCCGGCGUCGUCGUGCAAGUGGUCAUCCUUAACACCGCCGCAGCUGCAGCUCCGGAUGCCGUACCCGCCGGUGAUGAAUUCGACGAUAACACCUGUUCGUCACCGGAAUUCGACGACGAUAUCUGGAUCCUCACUGCCGGUGCCACCGCUACCGUCACCGCUUGUGCUGCAUUUACCGCCAUUACUGGUGUAGCAGCAGCAACCGCAGGAGUAACAGCAGUACCUGCCGGUGCCGGUGAGAUUUUCCGGCGUUGAAUGUCACGAAGUAAUCCUUUUUCACCUCUCCGGAAACAUUCAUUCGCAAAUUCCCAUCUAUCAGGUACAACUUUUCUGAAUCCCUAAACAAUAAACAAUAAUUUCACCAAAUAAAAUUAAAUCAACGAAAAACAAAACACAAACUUACUUACGUAAAGUAUUAAGCUGCGAACAAAAUGGAAAAACAAAACACAAACUUCCUCUUCCAAAAAUAUCAAACUUACGUAAAGUAUUAAGCUGCGAACAAAAUGAAAAAAUAAAACAAAAACUCAUAAAGAAAACUAAAACUUACGUAAGUAUUAAGCUGGCGAACGAAACUGGAGAAAUUAUUAUGCUUAAAAUAUUUAGGCAACAAAUCUCUAGCAAAUUCAGCAGGUUUCCAAACGAUGAAUGUGGUACCAUCUUCAUUCCAUGAGAUCAGCUCAUCCAUGGUAGGAUCAUCAACGAGCUGAUAAGUUUUCGUCAAAAAUGGCGUUGGAAGAGAUCUCUGAUUCUCCGCACCGGCACCGGCGGGGGUGUUAGAUUCGCCGGUUUGUUCAACCGACGACGGCACCAUGACAUCCACUGCUAAAACUAAUUAACACAGAUCCAAAAUCGAAUCGAGCAACAGAGAAAAAAAGAUUGUGUUUUUUUGUUUCUAGAAGUUUCUUAGGAGGUGAGUAGGAGGGAGAUAGGAAAAAAUGGUUGAUAAAGAGAAUACCAUGGGAGGAAAAUAAUCGAAUAAUAAUAAUACUAAUAAUAUUAGUAAUAGAGUAAUUGGAGUCGAGGGUAAAAUGGAGAAAUGGAUGGGUCAAUUUUUUUUUAAGAGGGGUAUGUGGGACCUAGUAACUAUUUUUUUUUUUUCUCAGUUAGGAAAAUGCGAGAAGGUACCAUAAGCUUAAGAAAAGAAAAUAGAAACUAAAAAGUUUGUUUUAUCUUUCCAGAAGGUUCUCCUGUUUCGUUAAGUUUCCAACAUCAUUAAAGGUGCGUAAAUAUCUUGAUCUUUUAUUUAAAAAUUAUUUAUACUCCCUCGUUUAAAAAAAAAAUAAUUUAUUUUAAUUUGACAUGAAAUUAAAAAAAAAAAAUUAAAUCUUAUAGUCUUAAAUUAAAAUUAUGUCAAAUAUAUCAAAAUAUUUUUUAAUCUUGUAGUUUUAGACAUGUCAUGUGAAAAGUUGAAAUUAAAGUAUUAUAAAAAAAAAAUGAAUUAUUCCUUUUUAAAUAGAUUAAAAAGAAAAAGUAUGUCAUUCUUUAGGGAGUAUAUAAUUUAAAUAUAUGUCAUGAGUGGUGGUGUGAUGUGGUAGGCACUGUGGAAUCAAGAUUUUCACUAAGAGAAUUCAAAAAUAACAUACAAACAAAUUAAAGGAUUUUCAACAUCUAUUAUAUAUAUACAUAAAAAAAAAAUUAACUAUAUAUACAUUAAAGGAUAUUCAUUGAAGAAGCUUCGAAUGAAUUCCUACCGAUAAAUAGCUCUGCCCUGGGUGAUAGCGAUGGGAGGCUACAAUGUACGAGUGAGAGUGAAAAUGAAGUAUGUUGAAGAGUAGAGAGGAUACGAUCGAUUUGGCUUUUGAUAAUUAUGAUUUUAGAAUUAAUUUUUGUGCUUCACAACUAAAUUCAUGAAAUACCUAUAUAUUAUCAAUCAAAAUUAAGAGAAAUGCGAUGAAUCACCUAGCGUUGAGUGAUAGAAAUGAGAGUUUAUGAGGUGAAACUUGAGAGUGAAGAUAAAAAAGUAUGUUGAAAGGUAAAAACGAUAUAUUGAUGAAAAAUAUUAUUUGUAAAAUUUAUUUUCUCUAAUUUUAAGUUACUAGUCAUAUCUUACGAGUCUCGCGAGUGUACCUCAUUUCAAGUAAAUCAGUUAACAAAAUCACUUCGAUAUUGUAAAAGAAAAUAUUCUUGAAUUAAGAAAUUAAUUAAUUAAUUAAUUUAAUACAAAAAAAUAUUUAAUACAAAAUUAACAUAUUCAUACAAAUCAUAUAAAAGACAUAAGAGCGUAUUACGUUAAUUAACUCUCUCUCUCUCUCUCUCUCUCUCUCUCUCUCUCUAUAUAUAUAUAUAUAUAUAUAUAUAUAUAUAUAUGAAAUUAAUGUGUAUACGUUAUAUUAUUAAGUAAUCACUUAAAAUAGUUGGUGUAAAUUAUUAAUCAUAUUUACGGUAAAUUUGCAACUUUAAUUUAUUGGGCUUAGUAGUGAACCAAAUUAACUUGUAUUAAAAUAUAGUCAAUUUAGGUAAAUUUUGAUAGUCGUUUAUAUAGAAUCCCUAUUUUAAUAUAUUUAUUUCGUAAAAUAUCAAAUUUUAGACUAAAUUUGUAGUUAUUUUGGUUUAUAGAAAUUUUUUCUAUGCAAGGUAUACCUAAAUCAACAAGAACUUUAAUUAAUUAAUUUCAUAUACUUAAUAUUUCAUAUAAUAAGCAAUAAUAAUUAUUUAAGGAAAAAAGUGAAAAAAAUAAUUUUUUUAUUUCAAAAUCUUAAUGAAUGACAAAAGUUUGAAUCACUUAGUGGUGUGCGUGCUUUGUACGUGUCUCUCUUGUCAAUUAAAAAUUUCAUUAUAUCUAUAUAGCUUGUACCAAUAAAUCAAAAGAGUCUGUUGUUAAAAAUAAUGAUCACAUGUCAGAUCUCAUAAUUUAUUCAUAAUUGGAAAAAGUUACAUAUAAUUAAAUUUUAAACAGAAUUCAUAUAGAAUCAGAAUGACUAACUAAUUUUUUAUGACGGAAUGUAAUGAUUCAAAGAAUUUGUUCAAAUUUGUAAAUAAGUCAAUUUCAAAUUAUUAAUUGUAAAUAAGUCAAUUUCAAAUUAUUAAUUAUAAAUGCAUCAUUAUUAACAAAAAUCACACACCAAAAAACAAAUUAACAAUUAUCUAUCAAGAAUACAUGAUAAUUUAUUAUUUUAAACUUCAAGAACAUACUACAAUUACAGUCACAAAAAAAAAAAAUCUCAAUUAACAAUUAUCUAUAAAAUAUACACGAUAUUUUUGUAAACAUAAAAAAAAUAUACAAAUUUUUGUAGAGUUUACCUCAAAUCACAAAUAAAUUUGUCUCUUCAAUUAUAACUACCAUCAAUAUUUCAAAAAAAAAAAAAAACUCAGAAAGUAAUUGUCAAUCAAGAAUACAUGAUAGAUUAUUAUUGUAAACUUCAAAAAUAUACUAAAAUUUUAAAAAACUUACCUCAAAUCGCAAAACAAAUUCAUCUAUUUAAUCAUAAAUACUAAUAAGAUUUUAAUCAUAAAGAAUAUAUUAAAAAAUUAAAAUACUUACCUCAAAUCUCAAGUAAAUUUAUCUCUUCAAUCAAAAGAUAUGUCAAGAUUUUACUAAAACACACGCAAUUAACAAUUAUAUAUCUAUAAAAUUACAUGAUGAUUUAUUUGUUGUAAAUUUCAAGAACAUACUAAAAUUUUAGAAAAUUUACCUGAAAUCACAAGAAAAUUUAUCUCUUCAAUCAAAUAAAAUAAACAAUAAACUAAACCAAGGAAAAUUUAUCACAUGCUAUAAAACAAUAUUAAUAUAGCUCAAAGAACUCACUUGAUUAGGAACAAUCAAUUGUAUGGAGAACAAAAAAAGAAAAUAUUAAUAAAGUUUAAACCUUUUCUAAUAUAAAUACUAUUAUAGUAAGUUUUCUACUUAUUCUGUUAUUAUUUUUUCCUUUUAAAUCUAAGUUAAUUAGGUCUCAUCUUUAAUAUGAAUACAAUAAUAAUAGCAAAGAUACUACUCCAAAGUUAUUACUCGUGUGAAGGAAAAAAAAUUGAUUUCUAGUUUUGAAAAUAGUGCUAAUCUUUAUAGCGAGUAUAACUCUAAUAAGAUACAAUUUUUAAAAUUAUGAUUGACUAAAAUUAUCUUUUAUCAUAAAUUUAGGAUUUUUAAUUUAAGAAUUUUUUUUUCAUAUAUUUUAAACUCUUGAUACCCAUAUAUUUUAGGAGACAAUAUUAUAAAUAUAAUUAUAAUUAUUUAAAAAAAUAGUAAAAAGACAAUUUUAUCUAAAAAAUUUUUUUUUUUAAUAAAGGACAAAAAGUUCAAACGUCAUUUAUAAGGUCCUUUACAUUUUUAAUAUGAUAAUAAUAAUAAUAAUAAUAAUAAUAAUAAUAAUAAUAAUAAUAAUUUAUUUCUUAAAAGAAAUAUUUUAAAAUAAUUUUAGUUGCUUAUAUAAAAAAUAAUUAAAAGUAUUUUCCUCGAUAACAAAAGAAACACUAAUACUUUGUGUCUUGUUUCCUAGUUUUAAAGUGCACCUCGGAGAGAGCAGAGUAAGUGUCGGAGAGGCUAUGAAUUGUGAAAUGCUUAUUCUUACGUAGGAGAUAAAAAUGCUGAUGUUGUCAUAUUACGGCCCCGUUUAACCAUAAAAAUAUCUUUUUUUGGAGCUGGAAUUAGAGUUAAAGAUGAAGUUGGAGUUAGGUGUUCAUGGGUCGGUUUGAGGCAGCUAUUGGUCAAAAUCAUAAUCAAACCAACUUAGUCAGUUUUUAAAUUUCUAAAAUCAAAUCAAACAAAAAAAAUAACUGUCGGUUUGAUUCUUAUCGUAUUAGUUCGGUUUGGUUCGAUUUUUUUUUAUUUUUUCGAUUUAUAACUUUAGCUAAUGAUAAAAGUUGAAAACUAAAAAAAAUAAAUUCAAUCUAACAUAUGAGAUGUUAACCGAGUGUUGUAUCUCAGCCUUGAAACUAAGAUGUCAACUGAGUGUUAUACUUCGGCAAAAUUAUGAACAACACCAUAUGAAUGCUUCUAAAAAAAUAUUUUAAAACUACAUUUAACGGAAUGAUAUGAUAAACCCCCAAAAGAUGAACACAUAAACUUCUUGCUCAACAAGGUUAAAAAGAAAGUUAAAAUUAAUGGUUGUCUAUAUUCAAAUGAAUCUCAACUAUAAAUUUCAAUAUACAACAAGAUAUUAUUUUCACAAUUAGUAUAAUUUGUCAUUCAAAGUGCAAAAUUCACUUGGAAUCUCAUAAAGUACUAUCAACUAGAUGAAGAAAAGACUUAAUGUGUUACGACUAAAGUUAAAUCAUGAUUAAAAUAUAAAAUGUAACAAAUAUUUAUAUUGUAUUUAUGAAUAAUACAUAAAUAAUUAUAAUAUAUAUAUAUAUAUAUAUAUAUAUUUAUCGGUUCGAUUUGGUUAUUUUGUCGGUUAUUUUAGAGUAAAACCAAACCAAAUUAGUAUCAGUUUUUAAAAAUUCAAAACCAAACCAAAUCAAACCUAACCAAAUAUCGGUUUGAUCAAUUUGGUUUGGAUCGUGGUUCGGUUUGGUUAAAAAUCAAACCACGAACACCCUUAGUUGGAGUUGUGUUUAGCUAUGAAUAUAAAUUAAAGUUGUUUUUGAAAUCUUACGAAAAAAGUAUGAGUGAAAAAAGUGAAAACAAGUAAAACUUAUUUUCACUUUUCCAAAUAAUUUUUUGAAAUUGGAGUUGAAAAAUUCAUGACCAAACGCACCAUGUUUUCACUUUUUUCACUAAAGUAAAAUAAUUUUUCAAAAAAAAAAAAUUCCUAUGAUCAAAUGGCUACUUAAGAUUUAAGACCAUGGCGGAUUUAACACAGAGUUGCAAAUUAUGGGAAUUUUUUUUUUUUUUUUUUUUUUUUUUCAAAAAGCAUCAUAAUAUAAGUAGUUAUGAUAAAGCUAGCAAGAAAAUGUAUUGGCCUUGAACUAUUAUUACAAAUAUAAUAAUAUUUGAAAAAUAUUAGUCCCUAAUUUCAUUUUUGUCUAAUUCUGACAAACAAAGGGAAACUAUUCAUUCUUCGAAAAGACGAUUCACAUUCAUCUUUCGAUCCUCUUUAGCUAUCAAAUCGACUACCUUGUUCAGCAGCCUUGGCUCAUGCAUCAACGAUGGACAUGGACUCCCUAAUUCGUGGAGAAGAUCUUCACAUGCUAAGGUUAAAUUAAAAUUAUUUUCAGAAUUUUAUGUAAUAUGUUUAUUACCACUAAAGAGUCAGUAGCAAUUUUCAAUUGGGUGAUUUGCAAUUUAUCAGUCAAGUGAAGUUCAUAAUAUACUAACACUAAUAGUAACGUUUCAAAUAUUUUUACACAAGAUAAAUCAAUCGUUUUCGUAGGAGUCCGCAACAUAAUUUAUUACAGCAUCCAUUUUAAUGCUCUUUCAAAAAACUUUAACAUGAUGACAUAAGAGAAAGAUGUGGGAAAUUCUUAAUAUAAUAUGAAAAAUAAGUAUGGAUAAAAUUAGAUCUAUAUUUUAAAAUUAUCCUCUCAAUAUAGAAUUUUUAUUAACUAGUCAAGUCCAGAAUUAGAUAGUAGAAUCUAGGGUAGUAGUACAGUAUCAAAUAAUUCGAUUUUAUUUUUGCAAGUACUUAUCCUUUUGUAGAAAUGUUAAAUCGUUAAAAAAUUAUUAAGGUAUCAAUUAAUCAAUUAUGAUCGUUAUCAAUUUAACAAUGAACUAAACUAAACUAAACCCUAAUUUACUUUGUUUUUAAAUUCCUCUUUUUUUGCUCUUCAAAUCAUUUCGCGAAAUCUCUCCCUUAAAUCAUACCAAUCAAAACAUUGCUCGCACAAUGUUUCACAAUCUCAAACACCAUAUAAAUUUCUUCUUUGAAAGACUUUCCAUAUAUAGGUAAAAUAGUUCUUAUUAAAGCUCUUCAGAUGAAACUAAACACUUUUGAAAGUAAUAAGAGGCUUCAAAUGAACUUCCAAAGUUGUUGGUUCUACGGAUUUGGUGUUAUGUUUUGAUUAUAAAGGAGGUAAUGUAAUGUCCACUCUUUAAUUUGGAGUACAAUUGUUUGGUAGUAUAUUGUUUCCACAUCCAUGUAUCUUUUCGGGGCUUGAUAUAUAAGGAAAUUUAUUUAGCCAUAUCUAUCUAAAAGUCAUUAAAAAGAGAAUAAAGUAAAUUUCAAUCCUAUUCUCGUACACCUUGCUUCAUCAAAUCAGCUGCAAGCUUUAACAAGACAGUAAGAACCGGAUAAAGUCACGGAGUACUGAGCAAAGCUCCCGCUCACAAAGAAACUAGAGCUUUCAACAUAACUUGCAUUGUCCUUAAUUAGACAGCUAUGGGUACAUAUGGACAUGUUUUAGAGUAUCUCAUCUCAUCCAUGCAAAUUUUGAGUAGUGACAUAAUCAUGCCAUAUUUGGCAUAUUAUAUUUAUCAAACUUUUCUUAAUAGGGCCCUGCAGUAUGUUUCUGGCUAAUGGGAUAGAAGAAUGUAGAAGAAAGAAGUUAUUCCAUUGUGUAUCGAUACGCGUCAAUGAUCAAGUUGAGCUGAAUCUAAAAGGGUCAAAAUAGAUUGAGUUAGCGGAUUAAUAAUCCAUUCAAAAAUUGAGUUAAAAUAUGAGGUCAUAAUUUAUAACCAACUCAUGAAUUCUUACUCAAUUUUAAUUGUUUUAUUUAUUUAUUUUUAGUAUCUAAAUAAUUUUAUUGUUAUUUUUAAAUUAUGAAUGUCCCUUUGAAUAUUUUGUUAAGAUACCUCAUUAAUUAAUUUGUGCUACAUAUCAACCUUAUUUUUUAUAGGUUGAAAUAGGUUUUACUAAAAAGGCUAGCUAGAUAUAUGUAAUAUAUAAUGUGGACCUGCAAUUCUGUAGUUGCAGCUCAAUCUAAUUUUUAUUAUACUAGUAAUUAUUAUGGAAUUCAGUUUAUAUUAAUUAUAAUUUGUACCACUGUCAUAGUUUUAGGGCAGUGUCUGUAAACUCCAUUUGUCUGAUUUAAGUUAUUGUAAUUAAUGUAAUCUUAUUAAAUUUGGGUCAACGACCUUUUAAGAAACUUGAAUUUGUUCAUUCAUUACUUGCUAAAUUUCACUAUUUUUUCCAAAAGAGAAACAUGAGACUCAAACAGUCAAGAACUAAAUAAAAGUUUUAUAAAGUUUUUUAAUCUUUCCUCAGUUUUGUGAACUCCUCUUUUCUUGUCUUAUAUAUUUUUGAGUAGGGCUGUGUUGGUUGCAAGAGAUGUGAAUUUGUUGUUUAAUAGAAUUUUUGAGCGACUGAAUUUUAUUUAUGACGUAAAACAAUUCAAAAUAUGGGUCUAAUUUGUUAAUACAUUUGAAAAAAAUUCUACUUAAAUUCACUUAAAAAGGAUUCUUGCAGUCCCCGCCCCCCUCACCCCCACCCCACCCCACACACAUAAUUAGGGGUGUGCAUCGGUCGGUUUGGUUUUACUUGUUAUUGGUUCGGUUUAUCGGUUUUCGAUUUUUAAAUAUGUAAUACCAAUAACCAACCAAUAAGAUAUUUUCUUAUCUGUUUCGGUUUAUCGUUUUUUGGUUCUUAACGGUUUGAUUUUCGGUUUAAUCAAUAAGAAAAUACUUAUAAAAUAGAAAUAGCAACAACUAAUAUAAAAAAAUGAAAUCUUAAUUACCGCCAAAACCUACGCAAUGCAUUUUAGUGUACAAGAACCUUCAAAUUUGAACUGAAUGUUAGUUAGGAAAAAAAUUGAAUCCUAAUUGUUGGAAGCUUUAAAUAGGGUUGUGCAGAAACCGAACCGACCGAUAAACCGAACCGAUAAAAAUGUUAUUAGGUUAUUGGUAUUGGGUUAUCGGGUUAACGGUUUUUUAUUGGUUUUAUAAAAAAUUUUAUUGGGUAAACGGUUUGGUAUCGGUUUUAGCUUAUACACUAAGUUAUUGUUUUAUCCCUAUUUAUGUUAUAUAUUUAAAUCUAUCUCUUUAUCUAUCUAUCUAUCUAUCUAUCUAUCUAUCUAUCUAUCUAUCUCUCUCUAUAUAUAUGCGUGUACGUAUAUAGAUUAUAUGCACUACUAAUUUAUAAUUCAGUGAUUCACAAAGUAUUAACCUAUUCAGGGUAACAAAGGCACAAUAUAAAGUUCGGCUAUUAUCGUAAUAAAAAACUUGAAGCAUUUAUAGCUUCCAACAAUUAGGAUUCAAUUUUUUUCCUCACUAACAUUCAGUUCAAAUUCGAAGAUUCUUGUAAACUAAAAUGCAUUGCGUAGGUUUUGGCGGUAAUUAAGAUUUUAUUUUUUUNNNNNNNNNNNNNNNNNNNNNNNNNNNNNNNNNNUUUUCUUAUUGGUUAAACCGAAAACCGAAUCGUUAAAGACCAAAAACCGAUAAACCGAAACCGAUAAGAAAAUAUCUUAUUGGUGGUUAUUGGUUUUACAUAUUUAAAAACCAAAAAUCAAUAAACCGAACCAAUAACACAUAAAAUCGAACCGAACCGAUGCACACCCCUAGCUUUAAAUGCUUCAAGCUUUUCAUUACGAUAAUAGCCGAACUUUAUAUUGGACCUUUGUUGCCCUGAAUAGGUUAAUACUUUGUGAAUCACUGAAUUGUGAAUUAAUAGUGUAUAUGAUUUAUAUACAUACACAUCUCUCUCUCUAUAUAUAGAGAGAGAGAUAAAGAGAGAGAGAUUUAUAUAUAUAACAUAAAUAGGGAUAAAACAAUAACUUAGUGUAUCUUUAUUGGGUUAUUAGUUUAACCGAUAACCCAAUAAGCUAAAACCGAUACCGAACCGUUUACCUAAUAAAUUUUUUUAUAAAACCAAUAAAAAAUUAUUAACCCGAUAACCCAAUAACAUUUUUAUCGGUUUGAUUUAUCAGUCGAUUUGAUUUUUGCACAGCCCUACAAACGACCCCUAAAAAUAUAGUCCUAAGGUGUUAAAAACGUGGCUGUAAAAGGGAUACUAUAAAUGUGGCUUUUUAUCAUAGAAAAGGCCACACAUUUUGCACAUUGUAGCCUUUGCCUCGUGGAUGAAUGAAGAGUUAAUUAUGUAUCUCAAUAAGUUUAAAAUUGAAAAAAGUAUAUCGGGAGCUAAUUAUGUCUUUCUACAAAGGGAAAAAUAUAUUUUCGUUGGAUGCAUUAUGUAUUUCGACAGACACAAAUUUUUUUAAAAAAUGUAUCGAAAACUAAUUAUAUAUCUUUAUAAAAGAAACAAUGUAUUUUCGUUGGAUGUAUUGGGAGCUAAUUAUGUAUCUCGAUAGAUUCAGAAUUGAGACUUUUAAUAAUUAUGUAAAAUAUCAAAAUUUCCUGUAAUUAAACUCUAAGCUAUCGAGAUUUACAUUGUUUUCCUUGUAACUAGGGGUGGGCAUGGUAUGGUAUGGUACGGUAUUUGAAACUUCGAUAUUCGGUUUUUAAAAACAUUAUACCAUUACCAUACCAUAUUAAUUCAGCAUGGUUCGGUAUUUUGACGUAUGAUAAUUGAUAACCAUAGUUUGUUUAACUUUGACAAUAUAUACUCGUAUACUAGAGUAUUAUUACUUCGACUUUUCAAAAGCAUGUCUUAAUUGUAUCAUAAAAAUGCAUUACACAUGUAGAAAUAUUAAAAAAGAAGUACAAACAAUUUCUUUUAUUAGUCAAUUACACCAAAAAGANNNNNNNNNNNNAUGUAUUAUAUGUGUGUGUGUGUGUAUAUAUAUAUAUAUAGUUACUUAUGCAACUAUAUAUACUUUGGUAUGUUAUUCAGUAUUUCGGCAUGUCAUUUGUAAAUACCGUAUACCAAUUUUUUUUUUUAAAUAUAUACCAUAUAUUAUAAUACAAAAAACCUCAGUAUCAAAAAUUUUGAUUUGGUAUGGUAAUUUGGUAUAUACCAUACCCUACCAUACCAUGCCCACCCCUACUUGUAACGAAACAAAUUGGGCCGGAGCCCAUCAAAGAAUUAGGCUUGAAUUUGUGGACUUCAAUGUUUUAUUUUAGCCCAAAUGAAUGAGAUAUUAUGAUGUCAUAAUUGGGCCUUGAUAUUAUCAUCAAAAUGAUAAGAAUGAAGAUAUCUUCCUCAACAAUAGAUAGAUUACUAGCAAGCAGGGCAGGGAAGGUAAGGUGGAGAAGAGAAGCUUAAGAAGAACAAGGUAAAACAACACCUUCAAUUUCACUCUUCCUUUCUAUAAAGUAGAAAACUUUACAAAGUCUACCCUUUAUACUGAUGGUGGAAGUGAGAGUUCAGUUUUGCUUUUUGAUGUGCUUUGUUCACCAUGUGUUUGACAAAAUGUCUCUAUCAAUGUUUUCUAUUUUCUUGGUGUUUACCAAUUGCGAAGUUUGUGCUGUAUGAUUAGUAAGAAGAGUUUCAGGUUCUGUGGAUUGUGCUUUACUGCAGUAAAAGGCAUUCGUUAUUCCUUGUAUUGCUCUUCAAGAGUGCACAAAUACAACUUUUUUCUUAAAAAGGGCAGCCCGGUGCACUAAAGCUCCCGCUAUGUGCAGGGUCCGGGGAAGGGGCCUACCACAACGGUGUAUUGUAUGCAGCCUUACCUUGCAUUUCUGCGCCAGUCUGUUUCCAAGGCUUGAACAUGUGACCUCCUGAUUGCAUGGGAACAACUUUACCGUUUACUCCAAGGCUCUCCUUUAACUUUUUUAUAAAGAAAAUAAAUAAAACAAACAUUUCUUUAAUGCAUAUGGCCUUGAAAGACGUGUUUUUUAGUUGUUGACAACCAAGACAAAGACGAUAGGUCGUGUUUUUCCAUCCGUUCAGCCUUGGUGGAUAGAGUUGUUUGAUACCUCUUCGUGGGAGUCCCCAUGGAACUAGUCAAGGUGCACACAAGUUGGUCCAGACGCCAGAAUUAUAAAAUUAAAUACAUAUUACUUUUUAGUAUAGGAAUGAUAUGGCUUGGAAGAACUAUGUUUAGUUAGGGAGUAGAGGACGUCACUCGGCACCUAAGGUGGAUUCAAGCUUAGGAUCUAUUGUUGAAUGGAGCCGAAUGGAUAUAGAGCAUUCAUAUAAGUUAUAACACACACGUACUAGUUGUAAUUGAGGCAUAGUUGAUAGAUUAAUUGAUUUAGUCAUGUUUGACAUGCUGCUAAUUAUCUUUGCUUUCUAUAUUAGUUUGAUUUGUUUCUUUUCAUCGAAGAGAGAUAUUACAGCCAAAAAGAGGCAUACCUCUGUCACUGCAUUCUUCAAUUUCUAUUGAAGAUAAAUGCUGAUAUGCUAAAUCUUAAUUUUACAUAUUGUAGAUCCUACAUUGGUGUGUAUGUUUGAUAUUUUAAUGUUCUUGUUGCAGAUUAAUCGUUCAUGAUAGUACACUGCUUUCUUAAGAGGAUUUUGGCUUUAUAAAUAGUAAUAUCAAGUUUGACUUGUUCCAUGAGAUAGCAACUGGGAAAGAAGUGCUGGAAGAACCAUGCCUGCUUUAGUACUAACCAGGGCCCUCUUGUUAAUUGGGGAUUCUUUAGCUUUCAGAAAAGUUUCACAGUUUACACGGAUAGCUCCAUCUCAAGGUCAAGGCAAUGUUCGCUUUUUAAGUGGCAGUGGAUCCCUCACUCUAGCUAGCCUUGGAUUGAAGAAUGAAGUUAAGACAGUAAGUGCAAAUGAGAAAAACAAGCUCGAGCAGGGCAUUUCAACGGUUGAGUUCCCCAAGAGCAGAGAGAAGAAAAGAGUUAGUGGCAGUAAAACAGGAUUUGUUAGGGAGAAAAACCCAGUAGAUAUAAGCACCGCGCCAUUUUCUGCGAAGUCAUUUUCAGAGCUUGGCCUUCCACCUUUGUUGGUCGAAAGUCUUGAGAAGGAAGGCUUUACAAUUCCGACUGAUGUUCAGGCUGCUGCAGUGCCAACUGUUCUUAAUAAUCAUGAUGUUGUGAUUCAGUCCUAUACAGGUUCAGGAAAAACAUUAGCUUAUCUUCUUCCCAUACUAUCUCGAGUAGGUCCGUUGAGGGGAGAAAGUUUAAAUGGCCAUGAAACUGGGAAAAAAAUUGACAUCGAAGCAGUUGUAGUAGCUCCUUCAAGGGAACUCGGCAUGCAGAUUGUCAGGGAAGUUGAAAAGAUAUUAGGACCAGCAAAUAAGAAACUAGUCCAGCAGCUUGUAGGGGGUGCAAACCGAUCGAGACAGGAGGAAGCUUUGAAGAAGAACAAGCCCGCGAUCGUAGUGGGAACACCUGGGCGGAUAGCAGAGAUUAGUGCAGCUGGAAAGCUUCCUACCCAUGGUUGUCGUUACUUGGUAUUGGAUGAAGUUGAUCAGCUCCUUGCUUUCAGUUUCCGGGAGGACAUGAAGCGGAUAUUAGACCAUGUGGGGAGAAGACCUGGUGCAGGGGGGAGAGAGUCAAAUAGUCCACUUCUCAAGAGAGCUGCGCGUCAGACUAUCAUGGUCUCUGCAACAGUGCCCUUUUCAGUUAUAAGAGCAGCAAGAAGUUGGGGUUGUGAUCCACUUCUCAUCCAAGCCAAUAAAGUUGUCCCACUCGAGUCCGUCACUCCUUCCGUACCUGUUAAUAUAUCAGGAACGUCUUCUACUACUAGUUCAAGCUCGAAUGUACAAGUAAUGCCUGAUGUUCGGAGCUUACCCCCCAAUUUGCAGCAUUAUUACACUAUUAGUAGGAUUCAGCACAAGGUUGAUACGUUAAGAAGGUGUGUGCAUGCUCUGGAUGCCAAGUGUGUAAUAGCUUUUAUGAACCACACAAAACAACUGAAAGAUGCUGUCUUCAAACUAGAAGCUCGUGGUAUGAAAGCUGCAGAGUUACAUGGUGAUCUCAGCAAACUUGUAAGAUCGACAAUCUUAAAGAAGUUCAGAAAUGGGGAGGUUAGGGUGCUGCUAACAAAUGAGCUUUCAGCUAGAGGCUUGGAUUUACCUGAAUGUGAUCUUGUGGUUAAUCUGGGGUUACCUACUGACUCAGUUCACUAUGCACAUCGAGCUGGUCGUACGGGCAGGCUUGGCCGCAAGGGCACAGUAGUAACCAUAUGUGAAGAGCCAGAAGUCUUUGUUGUAAAAAAGCUACAGAAGCAGCUUUCCCUCUCCAUCCAGGCUUGUGAAUUUUCUGAGGGAAAUCUUGUCACUGUAGAAGAUUAAACUACGUAGCACAUGCUUCUGUAAAAUUUUUACAAGACCAUUCACUAAAGACAACUGGAAUUCGUUUACUAAUGGUGAGAGCUGAAAACGUUGUUUCUUGCCAUUAACAUGCCAAUUCAGAUGCGAUUUUGUCUUCUAAAGAAUGUGCCGAGGCAGUCUACAUUGGAUCUGAAUAUCUGAUGGUAUUGUGAACGUGUUGCUUGCUUCAACCUCUACUUAUUUAGAAUCAUAUAUGCAAGUCAUCUGAGAAAAAUGUUAUUUAAGAUCUGCUGAAUAUAAAUAAAUAGAUGUAGAAGAUGUGAAUUAAUGUUCUUAAUGUUGAAUUGGUGACAACUGCAGGUUUUUAACUGAACCUACUUCUUUGUUCAUGAAGGAAGGUUGAAAAUUUUGGUAUAUGGAGUGGCUAGUGUUUUGUAGUAUUUAUAAUUUUGUUCCUGACUAAGAGAAGAUAAUACUCCUGUUGAUCUAUUAUAUCCAUGGCAUUAGUGGAAGUAGUAAAGCAUUUUUUAUAGAAAGAGAAUUGUAAAUUGUUACUUUGAAGCAAGGAAAUUCAAACUAGUUUGUUACUACUUAUACUGUUUUUUCACCAACACAAUGGCACAACAUUAAUAAUGUAUAUGGAUAUUUCUACCUAAAUUUUCUCUUCUUUGCUAUAAACUUCCAAACCCCUCUUCUUAUUGUUAUCAGCUUCUACCAGACCAUUAGUGUAGUCGAGGAUAGUUGGUAUAUGCCACCCAAUUGCUACUUGUGAUGCUUCAAUUAUGUCUCAUUUUACGCUAUGUUUGCUUUGUCAAUCCUGGAGAUGAAGUCUAUGUUCAAUUCCCGGUGCAUCACCAUAUGAUCCUUUUGCACAGCUUGUAGCCUGAUAAGAGUGCAGAGAUUGCAAGGACCACGUAAGCAAUAAAUGACAUGCAAACAGCAAUAAUAGCUGCCUUCCAGAGAGUGGUAUGGCCGUCCAUCUGUUGAAUAACUUGUAUAGUUACUGAAGAAGAGGACACAAGGAGGUAACCUGCCAACUGUUAAACAUUCUGCUUUAGAGAAUUAAGUUUUCGAAAGCUUUAUCUGCAGUGAAUGAGGAGGAGAACUAGAGAAAAGCAUUCAGAAAAAUUGAAAUUUAGGCUGCUAGAUAGUCAAUGCUUCUAUUCCUGUUUCUUUCGUUCUUGGAUAAAGAUAAAGAUGAUGCCUAUUUCUUGCCAUUAGUGUUCGACAUAAAGUUUUACUGUUAGUGGUUAAUAGAGCAUAGAUUCUUUAUGAUACAUCGGGUGACAUCCAGAGAGAGAGAGGAGUAAAUUCUUGGUACUAGUUCUAACUAAAGGUGGGGGUGCUACCAUUUCUGUGGUCAUAGUUAUAUGUGAAACACCGAGCCAACUUCUUUUAGGUUGUGAACUUGGAGAAAAUCUCAAGCUAAUUAAAGUUCAAUUAGUACCUGAUCGAGUAUGAAACUGAGAUAGUCGGAGGUCCUAUCGGAGAUCAAGACCCCUCCAUAAGCAAUGUCACAAACUCUCUUGAAGAGUUGAAAGGCCGAGUAGAUAAAAGCUAAUAUGCUUACUGUGAAGCAGUACCUGCAGUAGUGUAAAAACAGCUCUCAAAACCAUAGGACUGAUUGUGUUACUCUUAAUUCAACCAGCUUGGUAGUGGUUCUUACAUUAAUUGUGGGUUAUCCCGUAAUCUGGAAAUCCCUCGUUUGGUCCGUGUUGGUGAUGGUACAGCUAACGAAAGAGCAGAGAUGAAAGAGAACAGGAGUGCAAGUGACCUUAGGGUAAUAUCAUAUGUAUAUAGAGAAGGCCUUGAUCUCAACCUUGUCGAUGCCACUGAGAACGCAUAUGGUGAUGGCGUUGGCAAAGGUGGUUGUGCAGCAGGAGAGUGUGGAGUUGAUGAAGAAGGAGAAGCACCAGAUAACAUUCUCUGAGCAAUCACCAUCACAUUACUUUCUUCUUUCAUAGUGCUCUCCUUUUUCCUACUUCUUAGCAAAUGAUUUUACUUAAAAGAGCAACUUGUUUUAAUUGUAAAUUGAUCAAUAGCAAGAAAGAACAAAGUCUGAGAUUGUUAUGCAGCCAAUUGAGCAAAUUUGCAUGUUACACACUGAUAAUUGGCUGGUGAUAAGUCGUUUCAAGGACAGGAUAGUUGGUUACCAACUUCUGGAAGUAGGUGACAAAGGGAUGUGUCUUAAGUCAACCAUAUACCAUCUGAAGUGGAGCCAUGGAGUACCUGAUCAAGUUGCUACCAUGUAAUCAGAAGGUCAUGGAUUCUAACUGUGGAAACGGAAACAACCUCUAGCACAAAAAAUGUAGGGUAAGAUCGCAUACAAUAUACCCUUGUGGUCCAGUCCAUCCCCAGACCCUGCCAUGGCGGAAGAUUUAAUGCCCCGGGCUGCCCUUUUUAGCCAUAUACCAUCUCUUCACAUUUCUAAGGAUAUGUAAAAAGUCAACUCCAGACCAUAUCUUCAUCAACAAUGGAAGUAGAGAAUUGGAGACAUUUGAAGGGCAUCACUCAAUAGUUUGCACUGAGCCAUUGGCAAUCAGGAUGUGGGACUUCUAGCUUCAAAGUUCAAUCGAUGCCUAUGUUAAGAUAACCCUCAAGACAACUCAAAAUCUUGUGCCCACAGAUGGGAAUGAUUUGGGAAAGACAUUACAACCUAAUUCAUGUUCAUAUUACCAGAAGAGUUGUAAUUUAUGCAUGUCGCGCCAAAACAUAAAACUCAACGCAGCUAUUAUCACCUUCAGUAGUAGCAUAAUAGACCAGAUCCUUUAUUCUUUUCGAAUGAAAUUACAAUCAGUAAAGAAAUUUGGCUGAAGGGAUCAUUAAAGCAUUAGGGAAAACAAGAACAGGAUUCACCAGCACACAACCAUGAACAGCUAUUAUGCAGCUAAUUGUUGAACAAUUUAGUCUUAGGAUACAUUUAUGUUUGCAUAAAAUGUAAAGUACUAGGAUGUCGACUCUAGUUUUGUCCUCCCAAGUGCUACUUUGUAUUAUUUAACAUUUCAAGGCUUUGAUUGGUAACCCCAAGGAUUUUGGCUUGCCCAUUUCCACUGGUCCCUGCACAUCUCAUUUAUACCAUAUUUUGCCCUGAAAAAAGGUAAAAAUGAUUUGAUCUCAGCAUUGAUACAUCUCUUUGAACUGGUGGAACGAAAGACCAAUGCAAGAAUAUUAAUAGGGGGAGAGAGGAGGGGGGGAAGCACGGCGCAAGCAACAGUUGCUCCAAGGAUAGAAAAAUAACCAUUUACUACUUACUUCCAACCGAGUUCCUUCUCAGCCUUUUCGGUUGAUGCAUAAACAGCAGUGGCAUCACCUGGUCGUCUUGGACACAUUUUGAGUGGGAUUUUCUGAAAGCAAAAAAAAUAUUAGUACAGCAGAGGACGAGCUUGUUGCCUUGUUCAAAUAAUUCAAAUGCUCUUGAGGUGCGUUUUAGCAUGUUAAACGUGUUUUAUAUAUUCGUUAAGAGACCUUUCCGGACACUUUUUCAAAAGCAGCAACCAUCUCCAGGACAGAUUUCCCUUUCCCAGUACCCAAAUUGUAGGCAACGCAACCUAAUGCAAGCCAUUAAAGAGAAGAACAAAUGUCACACAAGAUGCUACCUUUAAUAGAAAAAUAUGAAAUAGCAAAUCAUUCGACGAAAGUGUAUCAUUUAUCUUGAACACGGCACAAAAGAAUCCAGAUCUUAACUUUGCUUUGGAAAGGAUUACUUACCUAUAUCAUUUUGCCGUAGAAGCCUCUGAAGUGCAACAACAUGACCGUCCGCCAAAUCCAUAACAUGGAUAUAGUCUCGUAUCUAGUGAGCAAUAGAUUAUAAAUCGUUUAUCAGUCCAAGUAUGAACGAAAUAUGUUGAAGGUAGCAAGUUCAUGCCAAGAAUCUUCUUGGAUUUUCUACUGUAUUUCUGUCUAUUUUAUUCAAUAUAUAUCACAGUUCAACAAGUAGUUCCAGCUAGUAAAAGUUUUGCUCACUCUUCAUUUUCUUCUGCUUUCGCAUGAAAGAUAAUCGGAUGGUUAAUUAUAGUCUUUCAAUUUCUUUCUUUUAUUUUCUCAUACAAAAGAAGCAAUACACGCAAAAGGUCAGCCAACAAAACCUACCGCGGUACCAUCAGGUGUAGGGUAGUCGGUUCCAUAUACGUUCAACUCCGGCAAUCUACCAACAGCUACUUGCUGAAUGUAAGGCAUAAGAUUGUUGGGAAUGCCCUUUGGAUCUUCUCCAAGUUUGCCACUUUCAUGAGCUCCUACUGGGUUGAAAUAUCUCAACAGUAUGAUAUUCCAAUCUUGAUCUGCCUUCUGAAUAUCCCGAGCAAUAUCUUCAAGAAAGAGCUAAUUAAUUAAACGAAACAAAAGUUAGUUACGUAAUUUACAGAAUGAGAUAAUAUCGCAGGAACAAUCUCUGCUCACUACAAAAAUAAGAGACCACUAUUGACAAUACAAACCUUUGUUCGACCAUAAGGAUUCAUAGCCUUCAAUUCAAAAUCCUCCACACACGGGAUCUUUUCAGGCUGACCAUAAACUGUUGCAGAUGAAGAAAAAACCAACUGCAGUUUCACACAAUCAGAUUCAAAAGUUAUCAAUCUGACGAACCGACUCAAUACCCUCCUACGAAUUCAACAAUAUUUCACAUCCGGAACAAACGAACCCCAUUUCGCCCCCUAGCUACGCAAAGGCUAAAUGAGAUCUUGAAAGAAGCUCAUAUUUACUAUUUUCCUUCAAAUCCUACCAAAACUACAAGUACGGGGUAGCAACGAUCAUGAACACUACAGAUUCCAACUUUCCCUGAAUGCAUAACGUACUUCAGCAAUUCAUAUAUAAGUGAAACAAAAAAUAUAUUGAAAGACAUACCUUCUUACAAUUAUACUUGGUCAUGACCGAAUACAAAGUUAUAGAUCCAAUCAGAUUGUUCUCAAAAUAAAGAAAGGGAUGAGCAACACUCUCUCCAACAGCCUUAAGUCCAGCAAAAUGGACCACAGCAGCAAACCUAUUUCCAUAUAUAUCACCACACAGUGAAUAUCAAGACACACCAUAGUAGUGCAUUCAAAGGAAACAAUAUAAUUUGAAGUAAGAGAUUUGCAUACUUCUUUUUAGAAAAUAACUUCUCCAAGUCAUCUUUGUUUCUGAUAUCACCCUGCCAUCAAGAAACAAAUAAGGUAAAAUCCCAAUUCCCAAAGCAAGUGGAAAUUCCAAUUUUAGUACUAUUGUGUAUUUUUAAGGUAUGUAUGUAAGAUCAACAUUCAUGACAAAACCAAAAUUACCCUUUUCUUAAAUAGUAGGAUUAAACAGACCAAGUUGCAAAAUCCUAUAGCAAAUUAAAAGGCAAAAAUGGCAUACAAAUAGCAGCAAGCACUUAUCAAGAUUUUCUUUUUUUAUUAGUACCUGUUUUAAGAAGAUGAUAACAACAUGAUACAGACAAAAGUACCCCCCUCAUCCUCCAACCACCAACAAUCACCCCAACCCAACCCACCCCAAAGAAUAAAACAAAUCCUUAAAUGUAGGAGCCUCAUAACAUUCAAUGGCUACAAAAAUCUAACCUAAACAUAUGAUCAUAUGAAGAAAAAAUUUAGCCAUAAUUCUCCUACAUAACCAAAAGGAAUAGUUCUUGUGAAUUUGUCAAGCCCAGAUAUAUACAAAAUUCUUCAUUUUUCUUUCAUUUCCUUCCCUUUUUAGUACUUAGUACUAUUGUGUGUUUAAAAUAUGUAAGACCAGUAUUUUAGGCACAACCAAAAUUACCCUUUUCCUACACAGUAGGAUUAGACAGACCUAGUUGCAAACUUCCAAGCAAAUUUAAAAGACAAAUGGCAUACAAAUAGCAACAAACACUUAUCAAGAUUCUUUUUUUUUUUUAAAUUAUCUAUAAAGAAAAAUCAAGAUUACCUUUUACAAUAAGAUGAAAACAGCAUGAAGCAAGGCACUGAACCCCCCACCCCCACCCCCCAAAAAGUAAAGCAGAUCAAUAUUACCCAAAUAUUACAAGCUGGGCAGAGCCUCCCAAGCCCCCACUCAUGGAAUUACACUCGGUUAUUUUGACUUAAAAACACUUAAAAUAAUUCAAUCAAAACAAACUUUAAAUGUAGGAGGCCUUAAACAGUCAAUAACAACAAAAUGUUAGCUUAAACACAUGAUCAACUCAAAAAAAAAUUGAGCCAUAAUUCUCCUACAAAAGGAAUAAUUCUUGUCAACCCCCACCCCCACCUCCACCCCAAUCCCCGUUUUUUUUGGUUAUCAAGAAAAAGGGUGUUCUUUUCUUUGAUCAAAAAGAACAUGCAAAAAAGUAAGUAUUAAAAAUGUACUCACAAACACACACACCAUUUUUCUAGGAAAAGAACUUACCAAAUGGAAUUCAAGGAAUAAUUCUUGUGAACUUGUCAAGUCCAUAAACAUAAAAAAUUCUCUCUCUCUCACACACACACCAUUUUUCUUUCAGAAAAAGAUUGUUGGCUUUGAUAAAGAACACUAUCAAGAAGUUAAAAAAAAAAAAGGACAUACCAAAUGGAAUUCAAGAUUCUGUGAAAGCUGAGGCCCAACUAAUUCUCUAACUCUAUCAACAGCUUCUUCAACAGAAUUAUGAAAGUUAUCAAUGAUUGUAACCUUAAACCCUUCAUUCAGUAGCUGCACCACUGUGUGUGUUCCAAUGAAACCAGCUCCACCAGUCACCAAUAUAUUUUCUUGAUGUUCAACACCCAUUUUACAAUAUAGAAAAAAAGAUUGAAUCUUUAUUGUAUCAAGAAGCAGUUUUUGUGAAGAAAAACCAAAAGGGGUGGAGGACGGGGGCGUGGGGGUUGGUAGUAGCUAGUAGUAAGAAGAAGAUACGUGGAGGAAAAGGGAAGGGGGUAUAUAUAGGAAAAGAGUUUGAGCAAAUCAAGACUAUAUUGGAAAAGUGGAUAAGCAAUGAGGUUAAUUAAGGAAAAAGCAUGAAGUGUUUUUUUUUUGAGGGUGGGCGGGGGUUUGUGGAUUCUUGGAAGAAGAUAGGAGAAUUUCAUGGAAUUUUGGAUUUUUUUUUAUUUUUAAUCCGGUAUUCAAUACUCGCAUUGAAAUCCGAUUAAUUUGAAUUUACCUCGAGUAGAACUCCAUUCAGGAAUAACAUUCUCUAGCAAGAAUUUUUUCAUACCCAGAACUCAAAUCUGAACCCUUUAAUUAGUGGAGGAACAGUUCUAUCCACUGCACCACAUCCUUUGAUGGUUGAAAAUCUAAUUAUGUCGAGAGAAAUUACUCCAAACUUUUAUUUUAGUUGGUCCUCAAAAUAUUUGCUUUUACUUUAAGUUAGUUGUAUUAUUUAUGAAAUUACAAAAAAAUUAUUAUAUAUUUUGAAUAUUAUUCCUUUUAUUAAUGAUUAGCUGACUGUAUAAAAUAUAUGUAUUUAAAUUUAUAUAUUUUAAAAAAUAAUUUAGUAAAAUAAGCUUCUAAUAAAUACCUUCUUUUUAAAGAGAUUGUUAAGUCUAAUAAGUUACUACAAUAUUUUUUAAUUGGAGAGUUAACACUCUACUCUCCAUUAUAAAUAAGCGAUUCUUUUAACUUAGACAUUAAUUCUUUUAAUUUGAAUUCAUCACUAGAAAAUAAAGAGUAUCUUUAAUAAUAUAUUGCAGAAAAGGUAACUCAAUAUUCCGUCCAUUUCAUAUUAAUAGUUCGUGUUAUUAUGAACACAUAUCUCAAAUUACUUGUCCAUUUAUUAAUUUUAAAUAAAAUUAAUUAAAGGAUUUCCACUUUACUCAUAUAACUGAUUCUUAUUUUUGGGAAAAAAAGUUUCUUAAAAGGUAUGAUUUCUUUAAGAGGUGUGUAAUAAAAAAAAAAUUAAUAUAAAUAAAGAGUGUAGAUUUUUUAAUUAUGUAAAAUUCUCUUAAAUAUUGUUUAUAAUUUCUUCAAUUAUCAAAAACAUUUUCUUUUUUUUUUUUUUAAAAAAAAAGAAAGAUAAAAACAUCACUUACUUUGUACCAGAAGAAAAGUAGUAUAAAGGGGGUGGGGGGCAUUCUUGGAAAAAGAAUUGGGAUGAGAUGAGAAUUUUAUGGAAGUUUUAAAGGUUAUGAUUUUAUGAUGAUUUAAAAAAUUUAUUAAUGGAAUUAAUCGAUAACUUGAUAAUAAUCGUAUUAAAUUAUAGUAAUUGUUAUGAUAUAUAUCAAUUAUAGUGAAUGUCUAUCAAAAUUUAUUUGAUGUCUAUGUGUGAAACUAGGAACAAAUUCAUAGAAGGGCUUCCUUCAUUGUAAAUUAUCCCUCAAAAAAAGAAAUAAGAAUCAUUCUCUCUAUUCUCUGUAUUCUCUCUACUCUUCUUCUUGUUCUUUAUUAUUUUAUAAUGCCUAGCUGAUUCUAAUUUGAAUUCGUUGCGCCCUUUUUUCCUAUUUUAAUAUAAUGAUUUCAAUAAAGUAAAAGAAGGGCAGUGGUACUUUGUUUUGUUGUUAUGAAACUCGUCGUUCUUUCUAUCUUAUUUGGCAUUAAUAAUUGAGUUAUUUAUAUUAUUGUAUUCUUAUGUAACUAAUUGCUUAAUUAAAAGGUAAUUAAUUAUUUAUUAAUGAUUUUCACUUUGUACAAAGAAAACAAAUUUAAUAUAUAUCUCAUUUGGUGUAUGUUAUUUUAUUUGAAGAUAUAGAUAAUUUUCAAAGUAAGCUGUCAAAUUGUGAAGAUAUAUAUUUGAUUGAUUCUGGCACUACACAUAUGAUAUUCAAAGACGAGAAAUAUUUCUCUCAUCUAAACAUGGCAAGAUUAAUGUUACUACAAUUUCUGAUAGUGCUAAUUUGAUUGAAGGCUUCGAAAAAGCCAUUAUAAUCUUACCCAAGGAAACUAAACUCAUCAUAAACAAUGUCAUGUUUUCUCCUAAGUCUCAAAGUUUUAAAGAUAUCUGUGAAAAUGGUUAUCAUAUCAAGACAAUUGAUGAGAUGAAUUUUGAAUAUCUUGGUAUCACCAAGAAUGUCUCUGGGCAGACAUGUGUUAUUGAAAAGUUCUCUGCUUUAUCUUCGGGCCCGUAUUGGACAAAAAUUUGUGCAAUUGAGGCACAUUCUAUAGUAAACCGAAAGUUUCAAUACUUUUAUACUUUGGCAUGAUCAUCUGGGACAACCAGGAUCAAUAAUGAUGAGAUGAAUCAUAGAAAAUUCAAAUGGGCAUCCAUUAAAGAAUUUGAAGGUUCUUUCGAAUGAUGAAUUUUUAUGCAAUGCUUGUUAUCAAGGCAAACUGAUUGUGAGGCCAUCGCCAACAAAAGUUGGUAUUGAAUCCCCAAGUUCUUGGAACACAUAUACGGGAAUAUUUGUGGACCCAUUCACCCACCUAGUGGGUCGUUUAGAUACUUUAUGGUCCUAAUAGAUGCUUCUUCUAGAUGGUCUCAUGUGUGUCUUUUAUCAUCUCACAACUUGGCAUUUGCAAAAUUAUUGGCACAAAUAAUACGAUUACGGGCACAGUUUUCCAAUAAUCAAAUUAAGUCUAUUCGCCUUGAUAGUGCCGCAGAAUUUUCAUCACAAGCGUUUAAUGACUAUUUCUUAUCGAUUGGGAUAAGAGUGGAACAUCCUGUACCCCAUGUUCACACUCAAAAUGGUUUUGCUGAGUCAUUAAUUAAACGCCUACAGUUGAUAGCAAGACCAUUGCUUAUGAAAACUAAGUUGUCCACUUCUGUUUGGGAUCAUGCAAUUUUGCAUGUUGCAACACUUGUUCGUCUUAGACCGACAAAUUAUCUUAAAUUUUCUCCGCUGCAACGCUGCAAUUGGUUUUGGGUCAAGAGCCUAAUAUAUCUCAUUUGAGAAUUUUUGAGUGCGGUGUUUAUGUGCCUAUUGCACCACCAAACCACACCAAGAUGGGUCCCCAAAGAACGUUAGAAAUUUAUGUUGGGUUUGAAUCACCCUCCAUUAUUCGCUAUCUUGAACCAUUAACAGGAGAUAUGUUCACUGCUCAAUUUGUAGAUUAUCGGUUUGAUGAGACUUGAAAUGCAUUUGAUGGAUGUGGUAACAGCCUAUCUAUAUGGAUCACUUGAUAAUGAGAUAUACAUAAAAAUUUUUGAAGGAUUUAAGAUAUCGAAAGCAUAUAGCUCAAAGCCUCGGAAAAUGUAUUCCAUUAGAUUGCAAAGAUCAUUGUAUGGUUUGAAGCAACCUGGACGCAUGUGGUAUAACCAUCUUAGUGAAUAUUUAUCUAAAGAAGGUUAUACGAAUGAUAAAAUUUGCCCAUGUAUUUUUAUAAAAAAAACAACAUCGAAGUUUGUUAUACUUGCUGUCUAUGUCGAUGACAUAAACCUUAUUGGAACGUUAAUAGAGCUUCAAAAGGCAACUGAUUACCUAAAGAAAGAAUUUGAGAUGAAAGAUCUCGAAAAGACAAAGUUAUGCCUUGGUUUGCAAAUUGAGCAUUUGACAAACUGUAUCUUUGUCCAUCAAUCUGCCUACACAGAAAAGGUGUUGAAACGAUUCUAUAUGGAUGGAGCACAUCCAUUAAGUACUCCGAUAGUUGUUCAAUCAUUUGAUGUAAAUAAGGAUCCGAUAGCACAACUGAAAGGUGGAUUCAUAAAAGGAUUUAGAAUGAAGCACAUUUCGCCAAAGCUCUUCAAUACACAUGAGCUCCAAAAGAAUGGUGAUAUUGACGUACAACAGAUUCUUUCAAGUGACAAUGUUGCUGAUUUAUUCACCAAGUCUCUUCCAACUGCAACUUUCAAGAAAAUGGUACACAAGAUCGGAAUGCAAAGAUUCAAGGAUUUUCUUAUUAGGGGAGUUAAUACGCGCUGUACUCUUUUUCCCUUACGAGGUUUUGUCCCACUGGAUUUUCCUUGUAAGUUUUUUAACGAGGCAGCCUAUAUGCGUAUUGUUAUACAUUCAAGGAGGAGUGUUAUGAUAUAUAUCAAUUAUAGUGAAUGCCUAUCAAGAUUUAUCAAGAUUUAUUUGAUGUCUAUCAGGAUUUGAUGUAUUUGUCUUUUAGUGUGAAACUAGGACAAAUUUUCCCUAUAAAUAGAAGGCUUCCUUCAUUGUAAAUUAUCCCUCAAGAGAAGAAAUAAGAAUCACUCUCUCUCUAUUCUCUCUACUCUUCUUCUUGUUCUUUAUUAUUUUAUAACAAUAAUUAAUAUUUUAAUAAUUUUAUAAUUCUUUAACAUGUUUAUAAUUCAAUAACUUUUAAAAUCAAAUCCACUGAUAAACAGACCUAAUUUUGAGUGGGAAAGUUCCCCUUGUAGUAUUAUGUACAAAUUUAGUAGAUACUAAUGUUUUAAAUGAUAAAAUUGGGAGUCACUCCAUAAUUUAUUUUGGGAUAGAAAGUUUUUAUAAAUGUUUUAAGAUAUACUAUCUUAAGAGGUCAAACUCUUAUUCCACAAUCUUUACUUAAGGGGUUGAAUAUAUAUAUGUAUGUAUGUAUGUAUAUUGAAUAUGACUUACCUACCAAGUAAAUAAUAUAUACUUUAUGUUAUUAUUCUAGAAUUAAGGAUUGGUAAAUAUAAAUCUUAUUGUGAACAUAUAACAUGAUGCUUAGCUAGCACUUACUAAAAUUUGUACAAUUUAUGACUUACCUAACCAAGUAAGUAAUAUUGUUAUUCUAGAAAUUAAGGAUUUGGUGAAUUCAAAUUUUAUUGUGUGAACAUAUAACAUGAUGCCUUAGAUAUAGACACUUACUAAAAAAUUGUACAUUUGUUGCUCUUAAAUUAUAUAGUAGUAAUAAUUUUUAACGUAUUCUUCGUAUUUGUUUAUAUUUUAGUCUAUGUUUAGAUAUGGUUAUUAUUUUUUUGAAAAACAUUAAAAGAGAUCAUUGAACCAUACUACUUGCAUUGUGGGUAACAGUUUAUUCGCACAUAAUGUUGCAGUAAGUCAUGAUUAAUUAGCAUAUAUUUCACCUUAUUCAAUUAUUUAAUAAUCUCUCUUUCAUCGUAUCAAAUAUAUUGUCUUAUAUUUAUAUAUGUAAAUUAGUAAAAAUUUAUUGAAAUUGCAAUAAAUAGUAAGUAUAAAUUUACAAUUUAAAAAAUAUAAUUAAUGUAAUGCUAAAAAUGUUAAGGAUCGAAUUCAUAAAUUUUAUUUAUUUUUUGAUAAACUACGGAUCUCGAUUUAAUUAAUUAAUUUAACCUUAAACCAAAAUAUAAUGCUGAAAUUAUCUUUCAUAUAGUCAUGACUUGAGACUUAUAUCUCUUUCAAUCAUAGUACCAAAUAUCUCUUUCACUAUGAGGCAAGAACUUUUUGAUGUUAUUGAAAUUAUUUUAUUCAAACAAAUUUAUUUUGAAUUACAUUAACUUUGAAUUAUUAUUACUAUCAUUAUCUGUCUACUGGUCGGGACGCUUUUUCUUUUUUGUUUUGAUGUAAUAUUAUUCAUUUUACGAAAUUUUAUUGCUUACUUAGUAAUCUUUUUUACAGUAAAUUUCAUAUGAUUCAUCAGCUCCAUACCAAUUGCGAUCACCCAUUCCGAUCAAAUUCCAUCAACUUCUUUGUGUGUAUAUUGUGGGGGGUUUUGGACGAACCCAGUAGUUUUUUUUUUUUUUUGCAGAUUCUAUAUUUGUAUUAGAAAAUUUAAUGAAUAUAUAUAUAUAAAGAAAAAUGUCUGAACCACCACAACAUUAAUAAGAUGAUGGCUCAGUGGUCAGGAGAAAGGCGGAAAAGCCUUCCGCUGUGUGGGGAUUUGGGUUUGAACCUCGCCCCUGUCAAUGUUUAUUGUUUUUUUAGCUCGAGAUCAUUGUACCGUCAUAAAUUUUUUGAACCCCCAAACACCAAAUUCUGACUCCGCCUCUAUCUAUAUUUGUUGUUCGACUGAAACUAAAUCAAAAAUACUUUGACAUGAUGUGAUAUUAUUUGCUUUAAACUAAUCUGGCCAAUUUUCUUAAAAUCAUCAUUCUAUUAAAAAUUUUCUUUAAAAUGUCAUUCUUAAAUAUACUGAAUUUUAUUUGCACACCUAUAUAUAUCAUCAUCUCUCACUAUAGGCCAAUGGGUACAUGAUUUUGUAAUAUUUGAUACACCAAACUUUUUGAAAAGUCAUUUUCAUACGUCAAGGCUAACGUGGAAUUCCUUAUCUUUCCAAAAUUUCGAUUUUCCAGAUUUCUUUUCGCUGCUCCUCCUAACUGAAAAUCUGAAAACUGAUAGCUCAGUUUGUCUAAAAAAUAAUUAAAAAAUGAAAAAAAAUAUAUUUUUCUUCUUUGCCUUUUUGCAUUUUAUUUGUUGUCUCUAUUUUUUUUUGGUUUCCCAUCCAGUGUUCGGUGUCCGUAUUGGAGCCCCGACUAAUCCGGAUCGCGCGUUGCAGGGCCCAUUAAGAUGGCAGCGCUUCCAACAGAGUUUUUUCCAUACCCAGGGUCGAACCCUCGACCUCUAAUUAAGGGUGGAACAGCUUCAUCCACUGCAUCACAACCCAUGUUGGUUAUUUGUUGUCUGUAUUAUUCGUUGCAGUGUUAUAUUUGUUUCUUGUUCUGGGGUUUUAUUAAUAUAUGUUGUUUCGGAUAGAACGACGGUAAUAUUAAUUCGUGGUAGUUAUGUUCUAUUAUUAUCUAUUGAUUUGUUAUUAUCUCUUGUUUCUGAUACUUUUAUUACGACUAUCUUUAUCUUGAGCCGGAGAUCGUAGACUAUAUGUUGUUCGGACCGCACUUUGCGAAAUAUAAUAGAUAUGUCUGUGUUGAUGUUGCCUUUUUGUAUUUUACUACUCAAAUCGUACAUUAAAAAGGUUAAUAACCACCACCAAAGGAUGUGGUGCAAUGGAUGAGGCUGCUCCUCCCUUAACCAGAGAUUUCGAGUUCGAGCCCUAGGUAUGAAAAAAUCCUUGAUAGGGAGCGCUACCCCAAAAUGGAGCCCUACCCGAUGCGAAUUCGAAUCAAUUGGGCUUCAAUGCGGAUACCGGACACCAGAUGAGGAAAAAAAAAAAGGAUAAUAACAAAUAUCAAUAAUCCUAAUUCAAGGAUAAUAAUUCUAAUCUUAUCAUAAAGAGAAAAAGUGUCCAAUAAGAAAGAGUUAGUACUAUUAUAUUGAGGACAUAUUAGUUAAAUAAUUGAUAGAGAAAAGCAAUAAUUGGUUCUUAUCAUUUUAUCCAAAAAGUGUUUUAGAGAUAGCUAAGGAUGCAAAUUGCAAGGAUGGUCUACAAGAAAUGCCGACGAUAUACGUCCAUAUCCUAAAACCAAUACUAUAACAACCUGCUCGGUAUAAUUUCACAAGUGCGAUCUAAAAAGAAAUUGAUGUUACAAGUCAUAUGCCUAUUUUUGUUAGGUAGAGAAACUGUUUUCACUGAGACCUUGGCACAAAUAAUAAUCCUAAAAUCACUUGAAAACCCAGUGGAAGUGUAACAUUUUCAUAGAACAUGAGAGGAAAUAUAAUUGCAGUAUCAUAGGGUCGUAUAUAACACAUUAAAACUGAGGUGUCUGAGCUAACUUACACAUACAUAGGAUACCACCAAGACUACAACAGAUAGGACGAAAUCGAAAUUAAACUUGACCUCACGAUGCUCAACACACUCAUCGACUACUAGGCCAUACCCUUAGGUGAGACCUAAAAUUUCUCUCUCCAAUGGGUCAGGAAAAUAUAAUUAUGUAUUAAACAAUGACGUGGAACAAGACAGCACCAAAAGCACAUUUUCGCAACAAUGUAAAAUGCCAUAGGCAAUUGAUUUUAAAGCGUAUUUACAAACAACAGGGCAGGGGAAAACAGUUUUUCAGAGUACAUAUCCACACAAGAAUUGUGCCAACUCCCCUAAAACAAGAAUUACUUCAACAAGCUCAUCUUGUAGUGUACCUUUUGUGAUAUUUCCUUAUUAGGCAAUCACGCGGUUUAUGUGAAUGCCAAAAUCACAGGCUUCCAUCUCCAACAAAUUCUUCAAGUGUAUCGGCAUGUCAUUGCUUCACUGGUCUUUUGUUACCUCGAUCAUUGACAUGCGUUGAGAAUUCUCCGACUGAUAUCAGUUAGUAUGAUUUGACUGAUCAUCUGUCGUCUAAAGCUGAUGCCUAGAAUCAAAAAAGAAAAUUAUAAAUAGAAAUACAUAAAGUUCAACAUCGUGGUAGAAUGCAGGACUGGAUCAAAGUAGCUCAGAGGGAGGACAGAGGAACAUUGAGGCAGGAAAUAUAUGACGUCUCUCUUUGCAGAAUGGUCACAUAUAAUAUGCAUGUAUACUCAUAUAUGCACAUAAUACCGUUCCUCCCCUUUCUGAUUACCAUCUUUUCAGCUUAAUGAAUGAGUGAUCAACUAAGGAAUAGGUACGACACUAAAUUACAACUUCACUCCUGCCAUAAGUAUUUUCAGUUUCGCAAUAAGGAAAUGCAAAAAUAAAUCUAAUUAGGGAAUACGCAACGAAUCUAGAUCAAUAGGUCAUCUUCAGAUCAGUUUGAAGUCACAAAACCUGCAGGCUCAAGGGUUCUUCGAGACAAAAUAGCUAGAAGCUUGAAGAGUUCACUUGUUUUAUACAUUGAUUUAACUAAAACAAUGGUCCAACAUCAAUUUGAAGUUGCCUUCUAUUCUAGUUAACCAAUGUAAGGAGCCUAAGAAACAUCAAACAAGGGAAACAUAGAUCCCUUCCUAUGUUAAAAAACGCCAAUGUACAUAGAUCACCUUCCUAUGUCAAAAAACGCCAAUGUCUGCAUCCUGCUAAUUCGAAAGUGUAACCACUUAAAUGUACGAAUCCUCUGGUCCAAAAUAAAUAUCUUUCUAGCCAAAUCAGUUUGGUCAAUUUAAGUGUCGCUCUAGAAAACCAAGGCAUUUUUUCCCCAAAUCCACCCUAGCUCCAAUAAAUGAUCUAAAAAAGUCUGAGUAGAGAUAAAAGGUAAUUCGAGGAGAAAUUACCCUUUGUGAUUAGUGCUCAUAAUGAUUUUCUUAAUGGGUAUAUCAAAGUAUUAAACGACAAUUAUUUUAGACUGCGGAGAGUAACAAACGCAGAAAGCAAUGCAAUUACAUGCAUCCAUAAUAUGUGGUUAGGCUAAGAUCUUCUGUAGCAAUAAAGAUGCUCUUUUCGAGAUCAAGCACCCCCAAAAAGAGAAAUCUUCUCAAACUGAGCAGGAAAAAGCUGAAGUUAAUGAAAAAAACAAAACCAACUUGCUACAUUAAGUUACCUGUUUUUAUGGUGUCAACAUUGUAUUAGCUCCAAUAGCACAAGGUGAAGCUGCAGAAACUGGCGUGCAACAUCUGGAAGAAUCCCAUUCCAUGUCAAAGGCAUAUUCCAGUCGUCUUCCAAGAGAUUUUCCUGAAACAGAUCUUUUACAUCCAGAAAUCCUGUCCUUCAGGUUUGAGGUGUCUUCCCUGUCGGGAACACUCCGGAGAAAAUGCAUGGGUGUGGUGGUGCCUGUGCAACUAUAAUGCCCAGAAGCUUCUGAAAAUCUCGAAGUCUUCUUUCUUAUGAUUGAAGGAGUUUUUGUGUAGCUCAUUGCAGAAUUCCUUAAAACAGAUUCUGGACUGCUACUAUUAGCAGAGACUGUUAAACUAAGAGGUGUAGAGCAAAGUAGAUGGCUAUUUUGUCGCCCGAUAAUGUUGUCUCUACUAAGGUUUUCAUCCGUUAAUGGAAUCGUCAAGUCCUUUACUUUUGGUGGUUCAUAAUUCAAGAAGCCGGGCUGCUUGUGAGCCAAAGAAGAUUGUGUAUCGUAUGCUUUAUUCUUCUUGUAACCCCGGGAAUGAAUCUUUGUGAAGCCGGGCUGCUUGAGAACCAAAGAAGAUUGGGUAUCAUAUGCUUUAUUCUUCUUGUUACCUUUGGAAUGAACCUCGGUGAAGCCGAGCUGCUUGAGAGCCAAAGAAGAUUGUAUAUCAUAUGCUUUAUUCUUCUUGUUACCUUGGGAAUGAACCUCGGUGAAUCCAGCCAAUGACAAAGUCAAAAAAUCAUGGUCAGUGUCACUAACAGUGCCGUACUUAGAACUUUUGGGAGAUUCAUACAUUCUCCCAAAAGUAGUAGGGUGAACAGCCUUAACUUGAGAACUACUCCAUCUGGUCUUGCGUGACGGAUCCAAAGGAAAAUCUAAAGAGGUCAAGAGAGGAUCUGAUAUUUUAGUAAGAUUUAAAUUGGAUUGGUCGGUCUCACCAUUUGGAAGAAUUUCUGCCUUGCCAAACUGUAUUCCACCAGGUGGCUUUAUCAGAUCCCUUGCAUUCUUUUCUGAUGAUUUACAGGCUCCAAAUAAAGAAGUACCCUUGUGCAAAUCAUUUCGAGGAGAACAAGCACACCCAAUUCUUAGAUUAGUUGAGCAAGCAUCAGCAGCAUUAUCUACUCCUGUCUGCUUGCUCAAAGAAAGUGUUUCUGCAUUAUGAGCCUGUGCUAAAUGCUUCUUGAUCUCUAGUUUUUUCUUGUGACUUGAGAAAUCUGGAGAUCCCUCACUUUGGAUAUCCGGCCCUGACCUACUUAGUAAAUUCAAGUCCAAUCUUUUCUUCACUGUAGAAUUCCAAUGAUUUUUAACUGCAUUAUCAGUCCUAAUAGAGCACCAAAAGGAAAAAUAGAUCAAAAAGAGAACUAAUCAAAGAUAUGUGUGCAUAUAUGAUACUUUAGUGAAAAAUCAUUCAAACAGAAUGCAUCAAGAAUAGGCAAAAAAAUCAUUUUAGAGUAAUGAUGACAAAUUAAGAACUUGGCUUGUUAGAGACAAAUGGACACGUGUACCUACAGCUAUUAGCGCAAAAGGAACAUCAAUCCUCUGGAUUGAGUCCUUACAAGUACAGUUACAAAACCUAGAAUAUCCAGACUACUCAGGAAAUUAGCCAUCAGAUUAUUAGGACUCAUCCCAAUCCUUGUUUCCCUACGUUGGGCCCCUAUAUUAAAUUGCUCAUAUUAAAUUGCUCACGCUCCAGAUGUCCAGCCCUGGGCAUGAGGUUGGGUGUUCAAGAGCCCCACAUCGGAUGAAAAAAAGAUGGACAAUUUCCUUCGCCGCCUUCAUAAAAAUUAUCUGCUCAUCUCAAACAAGCUCGAGUAGUAUCCAGGAUUUUGAUACACUGCAAGCACUAUACAAGGCACCCUAAAAAUCAAAAGGUUUGUGUUUGAUUGGCAUGCGAGUUAUAUCACACUUUUACUAAUGCUGACUUUUCAGCAUCAUGCACUAUAAAUGCUCUACCAUUGGUAUGAGAAGGUGAUAGAUUUUGCAAUUUACUUGGAUCUACAUUUUGGGGAUGCACAAGAAUCUCUAGAUCAGACACUGAUAUACAUAAUACAAGAAAUAGAUUUUCUUGAAUACCUUCCAGGCAGAAACCUUGCAAUUUCAGCCCACUUGUUCCCGUAUAUUUGGUGAUAGCGGCAUAGGACCGAAUCUUCCAGUUCAGUCCAGGCAUCUCUUUUUAUUGUUGGGUCAAGAUGGUUGUGCCACCUGUGACAUUCAUGGAUGAUCUCACAACAUUAGUGUACAUAGCAGAGUGCAACAAGUAUAAUAACUUGCAAUAAUCAACCAAUGUCAUUUUCUUUUUUCAAUUGGCACAGAACAUGGAGAUUCAGAGCUCCCUUAAGUCGUUAACUGCAAAAUUCAAUAUAGAAUUCACUAGUAAAUUGUGGUAAUCAAAUAUUUAGCUGCUCUCAGUUGUCAUGCUUUUUCUUAUUCACUUAUAACAACAACAACAAACCCAGUAUAUUCCCAUCUAGUGGGGUCUGGGGAGGGUAGAAUGUACGCAUCCAUACCACUACCUCUAAAGAAGUAGAGAGGCUGUUUCCGAUAGACCCCCGGCUCAAGACAUAGGACAAUAUACAAAAAUAUUCAAAGCAUGAAAUAUGAUAAAACUAACAUAGAUACAACAUCCACAAAAGUAAUGUACAAGACCAAACAAAAGACACCAAAACCUUCCUAACUACGGACUACGAUUCAUCCACCCACCUUAUCCCACUAUCCUAGUGUUUUUCCUCCAAACCUUCCUAUCCAGGGUCAUGUCCUCAAUGAGACGUAACUGCUCCAUGUCACGUCUAAUCACUUCUCUCCAGUAUUUCUUCGGUCUACCCCUACCCCGCUUGAAACCAUCUAACGCUAGUCUCUCACACCUACGAACUGCGGCAUCCGUGCCCCUCCUCAUCACAUGACCAAACUAUCUCAACCUCACUUCCCGCAUUUCUUCCUCCACCGAUACCACUCCCACAUUCUCCCAAAUAAUCUCAUUUCUAACCCUGUCAGCCCUUGUAAGACCACACAUCCAACGCAACAUCCUCAUUUCCGCCACCUUCAACUUUUGGAUAUGGGAAGUCUUAAUUGGCCAACACUUCGCUCCGUACAACAUAGCCGGCCGGACUGCAACUCUAUAGAAUUGCCUUUAAGCUUAGGAGGCACCUUCUUAUCGCAUAAAAUCCCCGAAGCGAGCCUCCAUUUCAUCCAACCUGUCCCAAUACGGUGCGAGAAAUACUCAUCUAUCUCUCUAUUUCCCUGGAUCGUAGACCCAAGAUACUUAAAACUAUCCCUCUUGCAAACUGUCUGAGAGUCCAACUUCACCACCACCUCCUCCUCUUGCCUCGAGUCACUAAACCUGCACUCCAAAUACUCUGCCUUGGUCCUACUCAAUCUGAAACCUUUAGACUCCAGAGUUUGUCUCCAAACCUCCAGCUUAUCAUUAACACCUUGCCACGACUCAUCAAUCAAAUCUACAUCAUCUACAAAAAAGCAUACACCAAGGCACCUCGCCUUGUAAACUCCGUGUCAGCACAUCCAUCACCACGACAAAUAAGAACAGACUAAGAGUUGAUCCCUGAUGCAACCCUGUCAAGACCGGAAAGUGCUUAGAAUCUCCUCCCACCAUCCUUACUCGAGUCUUCGCCCCCUUAUACAUAUCCUUAAUCGCUUUGAUGUACACCACAGGAACCCCCUUACCUCCAAGCAUCUCCAAAGAACCUCCCUAGGGACCUUGUCAUACGCCUUUUCCAAGUCAAUAAAUACCAUGUGAAGAUCUCUCUUUCUCUCUCUAUACUGCUCUACCAGUCUCCGCACAAGGUGAAUUGCCUCAGUCGUCGAGCGACCAGGCAUAAAUCCAAAUUGAUUCUCCGAAAUAGACACAAUAUUUCUCAACCUCCGCUCCACCACACUCUCCCAAAUCUUCAUCGUGUGACUCAACAACUUAAUACCCUGGUAGUUGUUGCAUCUCUGAAUGUCACCCUUGUUCUUAUAUAGAGGAAUCAUCGUGCUCCAUCUCCAUGCCUCAGGCAUCUUCGCGGACUUGAAAAUGUUGUUAAACAGGUUGGUCAGCCACCUUAACACAGCCACGCUAGAAAACUUUCAAAAAUCCACCGGAAUCUCGUCGGGCCCCGUCGCCCUGCCCCUUCACAUCUUGCGAAUAGCCUCACUGACCUCCUCUACUUUAAAACGCCGACAAUAGCCGAAAUCGCGACACUCCCCGGUAUGCUCCAACUCCCCUAGCACAACACCUCUGUCCCCCUCGUCAUUCAAGAGCUUAUAAACAAUACAAAACAUAGGUUGUCUGAAUCCUUAUAAAGAAGGGUUGUGCCUCAAAUUAUAGAUCAUGGAUUUUUCAUAUAGCCAACCCCUACUGCUUUGGAAUUUAAGCAUACUUGAUUGACUGAUAGCUUUCAAAAAGAUCCACACAACAUGAAACAAUAGAUAAUAGGAAAUACAAUGCUCCUAUAAACAAGCAUGACCUACAUAGGACAGAAAAUCCAGUAGGACUAAGUGAAAAUACGGCAAAGAUAAGAUACCUGCAUAACACUAGAAAAUGAGAAAAAAUGGGUUCUCCAGGCAAGGAAAAACUCUGUAAGCAGACUAACUAUACAGAUGUUCCAGGAAGCAUUUAAAGAGUGGGUUUAUGAGCAUGUAAAUUGCUCUUGCAUAGCAACAGAUUUAAGCAGAGUUGGAAACUGACCUUUCCCGGCAUUGCUUGCCAAUGCGACCAGGCAAAGACUUGGCAAUAAUGGACCACUUCUUACAGCCAAAUUUCUCAACUAACUCAAUAAUCUGGUCGUCCUCCUGAAAUUCCAAAAGGAACAAACCAGUUGUUUUUAAUAAUCGAAGUCUUGAUAUAUGAGUUAUGGCAAACCAAUGGUUGUAAACUGUUUGGAACCUCCUUUGUCCAAGGACCCUUUACAAGCUCAGGAUUCAGAACCUUCUGCCAGCGAUGCAAGCACUGCACAUCAGUCCUUCCAUUCAAGCACUCAGCUAUAGAACAAAAGAGAACACAAUACAAUCAUACAAAACAUUCAGCAGACAAAUCUUACUAUACAACGAUAUAAGUUACUUCAUGAAAUAGCCAGGUAUUCAAAAGAUGGAAAACAUUUUAUUGUACUGAAAAGAUUAAUAAAAGAGGUAGAUCUUAGAGGCUUCCUAAAAAUUUUCGCCUUCUGAGUAAUGGCAGAUAAUGAACUGGUUUCAUGUAUGUAACUUUCAUACUGCUGAUAGUUUGUUUAUCAAUUUCAAACCAGUGGCGACAUGUCAGGUUAUUACUUUCAAGGUAAAAGGAGACAACUUAAGAGGCAGCAAAUGCUGCAAAAGGAAGUGCUAGUGUUGUAAGGUACUAAAAACCAUUUCAUAAAGCGGCUUGGGCAAAAGUAAAGGUCAUUGUGGUUAAACUAGCUGAAAAGUAACCAUUCAAGGAAAAACAAAAAUAUAGCUGAAAAGUAUAGAGCAGGAGAGAAAAAAUGGUUUAUUACCAAUUCCUUUCCAGUUUCUUCCUUUGAACCUUUUCACCACUUCAGUCAACAGAUUGUCCUGUGAAAGGACUAAAGAAGUCAGGAUUUUCUAGAUCAAAAGAAAUGAGCCUAUGCAAAUAGUAAAAUGAGCAAAUGAAACUGGAGCUUUUGUUUUUUUUUUUUGUGAUAACCAAAGUGAAACUGGAAUUGUGACUAACAUUUUUAUCUUUAUCCUUUCUUUAUACAUCCUAAACAUCCACAUGCACUAGAAACGAAAAGGAUCCAUAAGUAUCAUCCUAAGCAUGACAACUCAUAUGGAUACAUCCACAUGCACCAGAAACCAAAAAGGAAAAAGAACAUGACAACUCAUAUAAAUAAUUCUAUAAGAACCUAUCUAUCAAGGAGAACUCUCAUCACGAGGUGAGUCACAUUUAUAUGUAUUUUUAGGCCUUUUCUCAUGUUUGGAUUAUUGAGUUUUAAGUAUUAUAUGGAGUAAUUCCUCACGUAUUUGUGUUGUUCUGAUGAUAGAUAUGAACUGAGGGAGAUAAGGAGGAAGAAAAGGAAAUAGACCAGAUUCAAGCGAAAGAGAUGCAAAAGAACGAAGAAAAAUUGGGCAUAAAACAGCUCCGACCUCCGCAACAGUCAAGUUUUGGUCGCUGAGAUGCUCCUUCAAAAUUUGUUAACUAACCCCAACCGUCGCAGUGGAUUAGUUUUGGUAGCAGCGACGCUCACAGCCUUGAAUACAAAUUUUCAGCUCUUUUAUUUUAGGGUUGCACUAGGGGAUAUAUAAAGGAACUUUUUUUGGCGAAAUAUUAAGGGGGAAGGUGGCACAUUUUAGAUAGACGCAACUUUGGGAGAAAGAAGAGAGCAAAGAAGAGAACUCAAGAUUUUUGAGGAAGAUUCAAGAAAUUUAAAAUUUCUUCUAAAUCUAUUUGGUAGAAUAUAACGACCUGAUCUCUUUGCUUUCGAUGGCUGCUGAAACAUGGUGAAAAUGUGAAUAACAUGAUGACUCAAACUUUCUAUGAUUGUUGUUUUAAGCCCAUUUAUGGAGUAACUUUCUCGUAAUUGAGUUUUGAUGAAACCUCUGGUUUGAUUUAUCUUUCAUCUCAUGUGUUUGUUUGAUUUCUUGAGGAUCUAAUUGAUUUAUUAAUUACAAGAGAUGUAUCAAUUUUUCCACUGAUUUGAUUAGGUGUAUGAUAUUCUUUUGUUGAAUAUUGAUUCUAUUAUGAGAGGGAUCAGUAAUUUAACUUAGAAUUGCCACAUAGAUAUUCGAGAGAAGCCUAUAUGUUUCUACUUACAGGAAACAUUCAACACUACUUUUGUAUCUUUAUAUAUCUUUUCUUUCAAUCAAUGGUAUAACCGAAAGGAGUAAAAUUAUUAGAAAGGAUUAGAGGGACUGGAUGUAUUUGUGAGAAAUGCUCAUACUUUAAUGAGGGUAGAUGAAAGGUACUGAGAAUCACAUAUUCCAUAGAUGGAUUCUUGACUCAUCAUUUAUCUCCCUAAAAUAUAAAACAUUUGUUCUAAUUGUGUUGGUUAUUUGUUUUUCUAGUCAUUAUUUAGUUUAAAAGUUAUAUUUCCAAAAAAUUAUCGGAUUUCUCAACUAGUAAUCAAGAUGUACUAAUCAUCAUAUUAGAAACCUAAUCCUUGUGGGAUCGACAUUAUCUAUACUAUCUUCGACAAGAACGGGCUUUAGUUUUUAUACACCAGUUUUGCCUCAUUGCAAUGUUACACAAAUCACCAUAUACGUACACAGAAAGCUUCAACAGAGAAUAAUGCACUUGAAAUUCAACCACAUUAUAUGUACAACAAGAACUUCAACAACUAGCUUAUUACCUCUUCUGCUGUCCAGCCUGCCUGAGAAGAACGUUUAGUUUGACCUGAGCUCCUUUGACAACUGGAACUGAAAUAGGAUUAAACAAUUGAAGUUAAAUUUAUAACUGCAUCAAUGAACCAUCUUUUUCAAAGACCUUAUUUGAGUCCCAAUUUUAUGCCACUGAAAUAAAUUAAAGUUUUCAGCUUACCCAGGCUCAGAGGAGCAUCUCGGAGUGCUAGCCUCAUAACUGCUAUCAGAAAAAGAUGAGCAAGAAGUGAAUCCACCAAAUUCCAGAGUCAAAGCUUCCUCUUUAACUUGUAUCAUGAUCUUGCAGCCAAAGAAUAUGUCAAAAUGCAAAGCAAUUACGACAAAGAAGUAAGAACAAAUUCUCAAACGCACAAGCUGGUUAAUGAAAAAAGAGAAUAGUUAUAGAACUCAGAAACCAUAUGCAGCUUUAUUUACGCAUGUAGACAUGCUGGGCCCAACAAUCAGUAUAUGUUAGACUGUCUUUAUACUAGCCGUCAACUUUUAUCUAGACUUGGAAGCAGCAAAAGCUAUCAGUUACACCUAAAAAGUAAAAGGAACUUCUUUUUUCAAACGGAUCAUAAGAACAUUUAUAUAAGAAAACAACAAAAUUCUUAAUCCUAAAUGUUCACGGCAUCCAAACAAACUGCGGAAAGAACUUGUAAGAAUCCAGUAAUACGAUCAAACAUCUCACAGUGAAGCGAGAGAAGCACAAUACACGUAAACUAGUAAGGAUCUGUUAUCACGAUCAUUUGUAUCCACUCAAGCUCACUAAUUCCAAUACAAAUAACUUUGUUUAUAUCAUUGUUUGCAGCGGCCAAACGAAUUUACUUUGUAUAUUUCAGUUUCAUGGAUAUCACUAAAGGACUUCCUCAAGAACUUAUAAAACACACUAAAAUCCAACUUUCAACACAAAGAUCAAAGCUUUGCACUAGCAUUUUGUCAGCAAUCGAACAUGAUUAGAUUUUCAAAAUAAAGAGAAUCAUCACCUUAAUAAACAACACAAACAGGCCAAAAAAAAAAGCUUGAAGACAUGCAUUAAUGAACAAGAUGCGGCGAAAAAUGCAGAAAAACACUAAAAUUGCUUCAGAAUUGUCGAAUAAACACUUGGAUUAAAAAAUAAUCCUUUCUUCCUUUAAAUUUCUAACAAAAAAAUAAAAAAUUCAACACAAAGAUCAAAACUUUUCACUAGCAUUUAAUCAGAAAUUGACCACGAUCAGAAUUACAGAACAUACAGAAUCACCACCUGAAUAUAACACCCCCCAAAAAAAAUCACUGUUUUCAACUUUUAACAAAAAAUAAUUCAAAAUUCACAAAACUUUGCACAAGCAUUUUGUCAGCAAUCACACAAGAUCAAAAUUACACAACAAACAGAAUAAUCACCUGAACAAACCACCCAAAAAGAACCCGUUUUCUUCAACUUCUAAGCCAAAAAACGAACUAAAUUCAACACAAAGUCCAAAAAUUUGCACUAGAAUUUCAUCAGCAAUCGAACACAAUCAAAACUUCACCACGACAAACAGAAGCAUCACCUGUAAAAAAACACCCAAAACUCCCUUCUUCUUUCUUUUUUUUUUACCAAUUUUUAAUAAAAAUAAAUCAAAAUUGAACACAAAUAUCAAAAUUUUACACUAGCAUUCAAAAUUACACAACAUACAGAAUCAUCACCUGAAUAAACAAAUCCAAAAUAAAACAAAAUUGAACAACUCAACACAAAAAAAUCAAAACUUUACACUAGCAUCCUGUCAACAAUCAAUCAAACACGAUCAAAAUUACACAACAUACAGAAUCACCACCUGAAUUAACAACAAUAAUUUUUUAACCAAAAAAAAAAAAAACAGCUGGAAAACAUACAAUGAUAAGCAAGAUGCGAUGAAAAAACGCUCGAAUUACUUGGAAAUCGCGAAGUAAACAAAAGUAAAAAUACAGAAAAAAAUGUAGAGAGAGAAGUAAAAGAACUGAAUGUAAGUUGUAACUGACCGUUUUGCAGUAAAGUAGGGUUUAUUAAGUAUUUUUUUUUAGAGAGAAGUAGCGGGAAACUGAAGAAGAUUCUGAAAAGUACAAAUAAUAAUGUUGUAGUACUACUAAUAUAACUGGGUUUUGAAUAUCAUAAAAAGUGUGUUUGAGAAGAAAGAUUACAAAUAAUCUAGUAGGAGUAUAUAAAUAACAUUAAAUCAGAUAAUAAUAUAUAGUAAUAAAAUAAUCUUACAUUUUAAUUUUAUACGCAGAUUAUCGUAUAACUGGCGAAUUUAUUGGGUUUUGAAUAGAGUAAGUGUGCUUAAGAAGGAAGAGACUGACUAGUGAACUACUGGGGGUUGUUUAUAUAUUCGUUUUUUGACCCUUUUAACGGCUGGAUUUUGACGCCAAGCUAUCUCACGCCGUUUAUAUAUAAAAAAAAUUAAAUCAUUAGAGUAAUAAAUAAAGUAAUAUUCUUUUUAACGCUACAAUACUAGCAUCGUUAAUGUUAUUGGUUUAUUAAGUUUGAAUCUCCCAUUAUUUAAAUCAGUUAACAAAAACAAUACGUCUUCUUCAAAAUUCUUACAAUUACUAUUUCAUCAGUAUUCUUUUACCAAAGAUGUCAAUAGAGGUUGGCUCAACCCAUCUAAAUUAGUUCACACAGUUGGACUGACUUAUCAAAAAACAUUAAACUCACAUCAUUACUCUGUGGGUUAUGGACCUCACAGGCUAGCCCUCUUUUCUAAAAAAUAAUAUUUUUUAAUUUAAUUUUAGAAUGUUAAUAAACAUAAAUAUUAUCAGACAAUAUUACAUAGCGUUAAUACUUAUUAAUGAAGUCUCCAGCACCUCAAAACAUACUUUUAAUAGCAAAAUUAAAUAACUUUUGACAUGAUAUCCUUCAAACCAAAUAAAAAUACUAAUAAGCCAUUUAAAGAGUUGCAUGUAUUUGACUUAUGAACCGGCCCACGGGUUAGCCCAACCCACAUUGCUCAAGCCCCACGAGCCAUAGGUUUAUCCGGCGGAGCUAAAAAGUCCCGUUCUUAAAUGGGCUACAAAAACUGAAGCUCAACUCCAUCAAAUUACAGGCCGGAUCUGACCGGCCCAACGAGCCUAACUCAUAUUGACGGCUCUAUAAUUUACGUGGCAUCGAUUGAUUUAAUAUGAAGUUUAAGUAAAAAGAUAUUUUUUAAAAUUUGUGAUCUAAAAUAAUUUUUAGAUAUUUAUGAGGCUAUAAAUUAUUUUAUUAAUAAUAAAAAAUAAUUUUAAAUUAAAAUUAUUUCUAAUUAUAAGGUGACAUUUCUUUGUAAGCUGACAAAAAAUAAAAAAAAGUGUUACAUAAAUGGAAAAAGAAGUUGACGAGAGUGGCAUAGGAACAACUCAUUAGAUAUUGUUUUAUUUCAAAAGUUUAGCAGACAAAAAUUAAUAACUGACCGAUAAUAGAUAUAUAAAACUGUUAUAAAUGUAUUUACAUUAUAGUGAAUGUCUAUUAAGAUCUAUUUUGAUAUCUAUUAGGAUUUGAAGCAUCUGUUUUUUACUCAGACUACGAGUAAAUCCCCCUUAUAAAUAGAGGAGUUUUGUUCAUUGUAUUGACAAUCUUAAUCUCUCAUCCCUCAAAGAAAUAAGAAUGACUCUCUCUAUUCUCUCUACUCUUCUUCUUUAUUCUUUCUUAUUUUAUAUCAUUCUUUAUUCUUUCUUGUUUUAUAUCAUGUUAUCAGCACGAGACUCUGUCAAACAAGGUGAUUAGUAAUAUGUUGGGGUGCAAGUCCCAUCGAUUCAUGCCUAAGACGCUUUUAUAUGGAUCAAAUAUUGAGUUUGAAUCUAAAUACACCAUAUUGAUGAUAUUGUGAUGGCUAAGAAAAAAUAAUGGAUGUUUGUGAAAAGUCAUAAAAUUCGACCCAUUGAAUAUGCUUCAUUUCCUGAAGUGAAUGUGGUAGCAAUAUAUGAUAAGUCUAAAAUAUAACAACUUACUUCAUUCUUGAGGUGUAUGUGGUAGCAGUGCAUAAUAUGUUUGAAAGAAGACAAGUGAUUGAAUGCACGAAUAUACGCGUGGAGGGACAAUAUGAUAAUAAUCAUCAAAAGUGAUGAUAUUUUCACACGCUUAUAUGAUUAUAAGAUAUGCUAGAGAAAAAAAAAUUCUACAUCAUAUGUAUGUCUCGAUUUGCUUUUGAAGUAGCAAAAUCUUGAAAGAGGUUAUAAGCUAUCAUAAUUUGAUAGGCUUAAGGCACAAUUAUAUUCCAUUCCUGGGGAAUGAGAAACUUAUUAAUGCAAACGUGCACUUGAUUGUGAUUGUAUCACAACUCACCUGAGUUUACUAGAAUAAAAGUUCAUAAAUUAAUAUGAACGAUUGUGACAUCUCGAAGAUGUGCAUAUAUUGAAGAACUAGAAGAUUCUUCAAGAAUUGUUUAUGUCGUUUGUUCUCAUGAUAAGUUGGUUGGACCAACUAAUAUUGGGAUUGGAUCCCUUCAAAUCUAAAAAUUAUUAAAGGUGAAUAAAGGACCGUUUAUCUAUCAUGUGAUAUGUUAAAAUGAUGCAUCAAUAAGAUGAUCACAUGUACAUUUAUUGUCAACCUGCAGUUUGACAUUCAUAAAGUUUCUUGCUCAAUAAAAUCGAGUUAAGCAUGACUUUGAGAUUGUGUAAUCAAGGUAAUUCAUCUUGAUGAUGAUGGUUUAGUUUUGAAUGCCUUCGAUAAAUAUCUAAACCAUUGUUAAUGAGAACAAAACUUCAUGUAUUGGUCUGAAAUAUGAUAUAUUGCAAUAGCACUUGUAUGCAUUAAACCAAUAAAUUAUGAUUAUUUCUUUCCUCUCAAUUGAUUCAAGGUUGGGAACCAAUUAUUCCAUCUAAUAAUUUUGAUGUGCGGUAUAUGAUUAAUGAAUAUAUCAUAAUGUACAAAAAUGGAUUCCUCAAAGAAGUAAGGGAUGUAUGUUAGUUUUCCUAACAUAAGGGGGAGAUUAUAAGCGCUAUGAAAUGUAUUAGGAAUUAUUACCAAAUCCUCAUCCAAAAGAUAAUUCAAGUCAAAUGCGGAAAACAUCUCAUAUUAAGCGCAAGUGCUCUUAUUUUGUGUUCCUAAAGAACAAAAUCUACGCAUGCAUGAAGCGUGGUAGAUUAAUCGGUUCCAAAUAAAGUAAUUCUUGAAAAGGAUAAGGAGCAAAUAAUCAUAAUAAGAAGGCAAUGAGAUCUUGAAGAUCCUACGACAUACCACUUCAUGAAACCUUAUUAGAGGUUCAUGUACCUGAAAAUAAUGAAGUGAUGGGAUCUCAAAAUGUUAUGUCCCAUUGUGAACUAAUACUAAAUAACAUAUCAUCAAUAUCUUUGACACAAUAUUGGCGCAAUAUUGUGAAAGAUUACGAGGAUCUUAAUUCUGCGUUAAUUUAAGCAUGCUGACAUAGAAACAUUUAUCAAGUGACAUGAAAGGAUGCAUCUUGGUAAGUAUUAAACUUAUUUGAUUUGCCGUCCAGAUAUUUGAAGAUGUCACUCUUAAAAUAUUGAAUAUUGUCACUUGACAAACUUAUGUGAAAAACUUUUAAGGAUUCAAAAUGCUUGAAGCAUAUAAAAGUUUCUGGGAAACUUAUUUAUAAUCCUUAUAUUGUAUUAGCUUAUAGCUUGAAAAUUAUUGAAACUCUUGGAGAGUUUUCAAAAGCAACAAGAUUAUUUGCUGAAAUAGGAAAUAUACCAAUUUGGAUUGGUUAUGAAGUAUCAUAUCUCAGUACAAUUGGUGCACUCAUGUAUCUUGUAAAAAACUACAAAACCCUUAAAAUAUUGAAUAUUGUCACUUGACAAACUUAUGUGAAAAACUUUUAAGGAUUCAAAAUGCUUGAAGCAUAUAAAAGUUUCUGGGAAACUUAUUUAUAAUCCUUAUAUUGUAUUAGCUUAUAGCUUGAAAAUUAUUGAAACUCUUGGAGAGUUUUCAAAAGCAACAAGAUUAUUUGCUGAAAUAGGAAAUAUACCAAUUUGGAUUGGUUAUGAAGUAUCAUAUCUCAGUACAAUUGGUGCACUCAUGUAUCUUGUAAAAAACUACAAAACCCAAUAUAGCCUUUCGCUCAAUUUGUUAGCAAUGUAUAUUUCUACUCCUACUAGGAGACAUCGAAAUGGGAUAAGAUACACGAGUUUAUUUUAUUCUAAAGAUUGCAGUCCCGAUCUUACUGGUCAUGCUGAUGUUGGGUACUCAUCUAACCCGCAUAAAUCUCAGUCUCAAACAUACAAUGUGUUCACAUAUGGGGAUACUGUCAUAUCUUGGAGAUAUUCAAAGCAGUCUAUCGUAGCCACUUCAUCGAAUCAUGUUGAGAUAAUAGCCAUUCAUGAAGCAAGCCGAGAAUGCGUAUAUGGUUGAGGUCCAUGAUACAUCUCAUUCGAGAAAAAUAUGGUGUGAAAUAUGACAAUCUACCUACAAUUUUAUACAAAGAUAAUUCAGCAUACAAAGUACAUCUUAAGGGAGGAUUCAUAAAUAGAGAUAGAACGAAGCACAUUUGCCAAAGUUUUUGUACAUACAUGAGCUACAAAAGAAUGAUGAUAUUAACGUGCAACAGAUUCGUUCAACUAACAAUGUGACUGAUUUAUUCACCAAGUGUUCUCCAAUUACAACUUUUAAGAAGAUGGUACACAAGAUCGGGAUGCAAAUGUUCAAGGAUGUUCUCAUUAGGGGGAGUCAAUACGCGUUGUACUCUUUUUUUCUUACGAGGUUUUGUCCCACUGGAUUUUCCUUGUAAGUUUUUUAAUGAGGCAGCCGAAAUGCGUAUUAUUAGAGAUGUAUACUCUUUUUCCUUCACUAGAUUUUUUUUCUACUGAAUUUUUUUCUAGUAAGGUUUUAACAGGGCACAUUAUCUACCAAUUAGACAUUUGAGGGGUAGUGUUAUAAAUGUAUUUACAUUAUAGUGAAUGUCUCUCAAGACAUCCGUUUUUUACUCAGAUUAGGAGUAAAUUUUCCUUAUAAAUAGAAGGGUUUUGUUCAUUGUAUUGACAAUCAUAUGAUCUCUCAUCCAUCAAGAAAGAAGAAAUAAGAAUUACUCUCUCCAUUCUCUCUACUCUUCUUCUUUAGUCUUUUUUGUUUUAUAACAAAAACGUUAUUAUCAGUAAUAUAUUUGAAAAUUGAACAUUACCCAUGAUAACGAUUCUAUAGAAUCCAAUCAUAUGAUUUAAAAUCCUUCUUAAUUAACUAUUGUAAAAUUUCAAACCAUCAUUAUUUAUAUUUUAAGUCAAUAUAUAAUUGUCAUAACGUAUUUACUGAAUUUUAUAAAGUCGUUAUGUUUGUAACGUUUUAUCAUUGAAUCAAAACUCAGAGUUACUAUAAUAUUCGUUUGCUCUGCUAGCCAUUAGUUUUAGCCUGUUGAAUUUUUUGAAUAAAAUAAUGCCUAAUACGCCUAUCAGCCAAGUUGUCGCUAUACGCUCGGUUCGGGCAAUCAACAAUCAUCACUCGACAGCUCAAAGCUAACCAGUAAAACCUGCGUGCUUGACUACUCAUUUUUUACAAGACUAUUUGUACCCAGGUAUAUGAUGAAAGUCCCUUCGACCAAUCAUCACUCGACAGUUCAAAGCUGGUCGGUACAAUCCACAUGCUUACCUAUUCAUCGUUCACAUGCCUAUUUGUACCUUGUCUGUUAAUUUUCCAACCUCAGAGGAAUUUAUUCGACCCAUUCUCCAAUCUCCCGCACUGCUCAAGUAAGUGUGAGACCUACAUCAAAAAUUCUAACUUUAUAGGGAAGAUUGUCAGCUAACACAACCAACUUAAAAUAAAUUUAUUCUGGUACUCAAAAUUUUUAAGAAAACAUAAUGUUUUUGUUAAACAAUUAAAUUAAAAGGUUAUAACUUUGGGUCGAACAUACGUUAACAUCUACCAUCAAAAGUUGUAGUUGAGUAACAACUGACAAAUCUCUUCAAUUUCUAAUCAAACAUCUCGAAAUUCAAAAUAUCAAGAUGAAAAAAUAAAAAGAGUACGUUAAAAUUUGUCAUUAUUCAUCGAGAUUGAAAGUUGAUUCUUAGCCACGUGUGAACUUAUUAUGUUACUCCAUCCACUUAAAUUUUUUAUGGAGACUUUUUUGUACGUGAGAUUUUAAGAAAUAUUUUUUUUCCAUCUUAGACACGUAAUGUCAAUGAUAAAACAUGAUAUUAAAGGUAAAAAUUUAAAAUGAAAUUAAUGACAACGAUAAAACAUGAUAUUUAAGGAAGAAUUUUGAAAUUAAAGUAUUUUUAUAUAGAUAGAAAUAGAAAUAUGCUUUUUUAGAAGAUAAAUGGAUUAAAAACUAGUAUUAUAUAAAUUGAAAUGUUUUUAAUAUAAUUUGUAUAUGUCGCUGUUGGGUAGAUAUCCCAAAGUUUUUUUUUCUGGUGGUGAUAUCCCAAAGUUAUCAUAGUCUAUCUACGAAUAAACCUCACUUUUUAAGAUAGGGUUAGUUUCAUUAUGGAUAAAUUAAAUUUAUUAAAUAUAAUUACUACGUGAACUAUGUUUUGUAAUGAAAAAAAUAAAUCAUUCAAUUAUCUGAACUGUCACGAUAAUUACUAAAUUAUUUUAUAAUAAAUAACCAGCCAACUUUAUUUAAAAUAUUGUUUAGAAAAAAUAGAGAGAUAUUUUUGUUUGAAUAAAAAGUGUUUGAGAUGGACUAGAGGAGAAGUGGAAGAAUAUUUUUAAUUUUGAUUUGCUUUAACUUUUUUUAACAAUUGAUUUUGACAACUACUUUUCUACUUUUUAUUUUUUUUGUCGUGAUAAAAAUUACGUUGCUUUUACGUUAUAUAUUAACUCGUAUACUGAUAUUAUUUGACACCAAGUGCAUUAGAAUGCAAAAUAUUGAAGAUUAUGGUAGAAUAGUCAAAUGAAUAGCCCACUAUUUAAUUAGAGAUUUUGAGUUUAAUUUUUGAAAUUAAAUAUAUAUUGAUAGAAAGUGUUUUUCUUUUUUCAUGAAUCUUAUAUAAUGUUAAACAAAAUUUCCAACACAAACACUGAAUAAAUUUAUACUCACUAAUGAAUCAAAAUUACAAUUAAGAAUUAAAUCAGUAAGGUAAUAGGGAAUACUAAUUAACGGAAUAACUUAGAAUAGCAUAGGAAUCACCUUUUUUUUUUUAUUAUUUUUUUCUUAUCAACCCUAUGAAUUUCAACACCUUGUACUAAAGUUAUUUUGUGUUUAUUUGGAGACAUUUUUCAGUUAAAUUUUUUCGUGUCAAAGAAUAAUGAAAAGAUAGUAAGGAUUAAAGUAGUCACCACCAAAGGAAAGGAUGUGGUGCUGCUCCUCCCUUAAUUAGAGGUCUCGGGUUCGAGUCCUAGUAUGAAAAAAUUCUUGUUAGGGAGCGCUCCCCCUCGAAUGGGCCCCCACGUGGCACGAAUCUGGAUUAGUCGGACUUCAAUGCAGGUAUCGGACAUCGGAUGGAAACCAAAAGAAAAAAAAGUAUUAAAGUAGUGGCUAAUAUUUUUGAAAAAAAUCAAGAAAUAGCAAUUAUAGAGCAUUAAUUGUAACUUUUAUAGCAACAAUUUCAUAAUUACGAAAAAUAGCAAAUUGUACCUUGUAUUUAAGUAAACUGUUGCUAUACAAAUACAUAUACAAUAAGAUUUACUGCCCUUGUUUUACUCAAAUUAGUUGAGUUAAAUAAAGAAUAAUUAUCCCUUCAAAUUAAAUUUCCAUAAAUUACUCUUAUUUAAAUUAGUAGAUUACUUUUUCAAAUCAAACUCAAAUAUGAAGAUUAUUAUUUUCAUAAUCUUCAAAAUUUCAAAGUAUCAUUCUCUUAAAUCUCUAACUAUUUUUUCUUGUCAGAUUUUUUUCAAUUUUUUAUUUUUUUCAUUUCUUUUUAUUUUUUAUUUUUUCUUUCCACUUUAUUUUCUCUUUUCUACUUUUUUUUUCUUUUUCGAUUUAUUUAUUUAUUUAUUUUCUUUUUUCGUUUUCUUUAUUUUCCUUUUCUCAUGUUUUUUUCGUUUUCUUCUUCUUCUUCUUCUUUUUUUUUUGCUUUUGCUUUUACACUUCUAUUUCUAGUCUAUAUUUCUCUUUCUUCUUCUUUUUUUCUUUUUCACUUUUUUUUUUUACUCUUUUAUCUCUAUCUUUUAUUUUGAAAGACAAAUAUAUAUAUAUAUCAUAUAUACAUAUUCAAAAAAUAUACAAAAUAAAUAGACAUACAGAUCUGCACAUGUAUUUACGAUAAAAACAUACAUAUAUAUCUGCAUAUGUAUUUACAAAAAUAUAUAUCUGACUCACAUGUAUAUAUAAACAUAUAUGACACAAAAUCUCUAUAACAAAAAUGACAAUUAUAUACAUAUACAUAUAGGCAAUAAAAAAAAUACAUGUUACAUAUCUUAAACAGUAAAAGAAAACAAAUAAGUACAUAUGUUACCCUCUAAAAUGACAUAGUAUGUACAAUUCAAACAUAAAGCCAACACCUUAUAAAAUAUAUAUAGCUAUGCAUAUGUAUUUACAGAAUACACACUUGAUCCAUAUGUAUAUUCUUAUUUUAUAUGAGUCACAUUUGUAUUUCGCAAAUACAUAUGAAAAUAUAUAGUAUAGUUAUGUUUGUUACUGUUUAAUAUGAAUAUGAUAAGUAUUUCAUAAACAUAUGUAUGUUUUGUACUGUAAAUACAUAUCCAGAUCCGCAUAGCUAUGUAUUUUGUAGAUUUUUUUAAUAUGUGUAUGUGAUAUACAUAAUUGUCUUUUCGAAAAAAGAAAAAAAAGUUAGAGAUAGAAGAGUAAAAAAAAUAAAUAAAUAAAAAUUAAAAAGAAAUUGAAAAAAGCAAAGUGAAAAAGAAAAUAGAAGGGAAAAAAGAGAAAUAGAAGUGUAAAAAAAAAAGAAACAAAAUAAAAUAGAUGUGAUAUACAUAAUUGUCUUUUAAAAAAAAGGUUAGAGAUAGAAGAAUAAAAAAAUAAAAAUAAAAAAAAUAAAAAAGAAAUUGAAAAAGCGAAGUGAAAAAGAAAAUAAACAGGAAGAAAGAGAAAUAGAAGUGUAAAAAAAAAAGAAAAAAAUAGAAAAAAGAAGAAGAAAAUGAAAAUAGAACAAGAAAAAAAAAGACAUGACAAAGGAAAAAAAAGAAAUAGAAGAGAGAAAAUAAAGUGGAAAAAAAAAAAGGAAAAGGAAAAGAAAUCAAAAUAAAAAAAUAAUAUUAAAAAAAAAACUAACAAGAAAAAAAAGGUAGAGAUAUUAGACAGUGAAAGAUAGUAAUGAUGUUUUAUUUUGAAAAUUUGAAGAUAAUGAAGAUAAUUAUCUUCAAAUAUGAAAAAGAAAAAACAUAAAAACAUAAAAAAACAAAAAAGGAAAAAAAAGAAAUAGAAGAGAGAAAAUAAUAAUAAAAAUAAAUAAAUAAAUAAAUAAUAAUAAUAAAAAAAAAAGAUGAGAAAAAGGAUAAAAGCUAUCGCUAUAUUUUGCGGGAGGGGAGGGGGGGAUAGUGGAGUGAAAAUAAAAAAAUGUAAAGUAGUGGAAGUAAAAUAUGCACUUGCCUAGUUAAUGAGUAAAAUAAUACUACUCUUGCUAUAAAUUGUAAUUUUACAAAAGUGUUGUUAUUUAUUGUAAUUAUAGUCUUACUUUUUGUAAAUUUUCUUUAUUUAAAUGUAUAAAUAACAUAAAUACCAAAUUACACUCUCUCCCACUUUUUUAAUUACUUUACUUUCUCUCCCUAUUAAUAUGCAUAACAUAGCCGACAUAUACAUAAUAUUCUGUGUAUAUAUUUGAAUUUUUGUAAUAUGUUUAAGAAGUUGAAUUUUUUUGUAAUAUUGCAAAUAUAAGUUAUAUAUUUGUGUAAUUUUUAGUAUUAAAUAGCAAGUGUUAAAUGGGCUUCCCAUGUCUGUCUGGUAUCUAUUCUUCAUCCUAAAGUCUGAAUUUGGAUUGGGCUAUUCUAUUUGCUGGUAAUGCCAACAGGAACCUAACUUUGUGUAUAGUAGUAAAAAUGAAAAGAGAUACUGUGUAGUAUUUUUUAAAAUAAAUAGUUUAAGUUUAAUAUUUUUUUUAAAAAUAGCCAGUUGAAUAUUUUGUUUUCACUUUAUAGCUAUUUUUUAAUUUGGGUUAUUUUGGCCCAUGUAGUUUAGAUACAGUCUAUAUACAAUGCUGAUACAGUUUAUAUACAAUACACAUACAAUUUUCAACUUGGGUCAUUCUGCCCUUUUUAAAAAUAUUUCAGUUUUUAUUUUGCAAUAAAUUUUUUAACUAAAAUAUAUUCUAUUUUUUUAUUAUUUAAAAAUAAUAAUUAAAUAUAAUUAUGUAAAAAUGGUAGAAUUAUUAUAUAGAGCAUGUAUCUAUAUAAGAUAUAUGUAUAGAAAUUGUAUACUUCUAUUUAAUAUGUAUAUGUAUAAAAUAUAUAUAAAAAAUAGGAAGAAUACUCACAAAAAUAUCUGAUGUUUGAUCAGAUUUUCAGUUGAGCAUACUGAACUUUGUGGGGGUCCUAUUACCCCCUAGACUUUUUUUUUGUAUUUUAAUGGCAUAGAUCAACCCAUUUUGACAAGGACAUGUAAUCACGCCUCUUGAGCACGUGAGAGUGAUUAAAAACGUUAAAAAUAUUUUUUGGGGGUCAAAUAACUCCUCAAUUUGCUGACUUUUAAAUAUUUUAUAUUUUUUAUUCAUUUUUCAUUCUUUCUCUUCUCUUUCUUUCUUCUUUCUUUCUUCUCUUCAAUUGAGUUAAAUUGAUGCGCCAUUGUUAAAUUAAAAAUAAUUUCAUCACACACACACACACACACCAAAUAAGUUAUCUUCAACACACUCAAUUCAAUUACAUCAAUUUUACCUAAUUUCAAUACACACACCAAAUGGGUAUUCUCCAAUUCCAUCAAAUUGGACUGGUUGUUAAUAUUGGCGAGGCACUUCAGGUUUGCCACGAGCUACAUUACCAAGCAGCACCUAACAUCAUCAAUAUGUUCCUUCAGACACUCUAUCAUUGUCUUUACAUUAAAGUUUGUUAUUGUCUGUACAAUAAUAUUUUACACAUGCAUACUAAUUAGCCAAGAGCAUCUUUGUUAUUCCUGUUUUUAUCAAGAACACACCCUUAUGUAUCUUUCGAUUUUGUUCUUUUUGUCCAUUCUCAUCUCAAUAUAAUCUAAUGUAGUAUCAUUAGGUCAUUUGGUAUGUGUGGUGAAAUUGGGACCCUCUGUUUGCGAUUUAAAUAAAAUUAUUAAAGAGAAUUUUUCGAUUUGAAUUUCAAAUUUGGGAAAAAAAAUUCUUAAUGAACUAAAUAAAAGUAAAAUUUCAAGAAUGAAGAAUUAAGAAUUUGGUGAAAAAAUGAUGAAAAUUUGUAUUGUAGUAUUACCAAUGUUGUUUGUAGGAGUAAUAUGGCUGUAAUAGUUGUAGACACGUGAUUUCGACCCUCCCGAGUUUAAUAUAUAUAUUUUUUUCGAUAUUAAAUAUUUAUAUUUGGUUUAAUAUUAUUUAAUUCUUAUUAUUUUUUAAUAAACUUUUAGUUAAAAUAAAGUUAAUUUUGAGAUUUUUUGUUUUAUUUUAUUCUAUUUUUUUUUAAAUAAUACAUAUUUUUAAAUAAUUUAUUUUUAAAUUUUAAACAAAUAAGUUAGUAGUUUUAGUACUAUCUUAAUUAUAUUUAUUUUAACUAUUUUAAAACUUUUAUUAUAUUUUCUUAAAUAUAAAAAUUAAUUAGUUAUUAUUAUAUUAUUUUUAUUAUUAUUAUUGUUAUUUUAUUUAUUUAUUUAUUUAUUAUUUAUAUUUAUUAUUAUCAUUGUCUUCUUUUUUUAAAAAAAAAAAAAAGAAAAAAGAAAAAAGAUUUAAAAUUUGAAAAUUCUAUCUUAUCCUAAACUACCCCAGCCACCCUCACUUUUCCCUCCAACUCUCUCAACUUCCCACCUUAUACCCUAUAUAACACACACACAGACAACAACAAUGAAAAAAAAUGAGGAUAACAAAAAGUACACAUUGUCGAAAACCAAAAAGAAAACACUAGCAUACAGACACACGAGAAAGAAGAAAAAAAAAGAAGAAAAACUAAGUGGUAAAAGCUAAGGAAGAAAACAUACUGGAGAUUGGGAAAACAAACAAAAAUUAAAAGGAACGGAUGAGAGUUAGAAAAAAAAAAGCAGUAGAAAAACAAAAGAAAGAAAAAAGAAACUUCUUUGGUUUUGGAGAUUAAGUUCAGUUCGUGUCGAGUUUUUGAUGACAUCAUUCAUGCUUCUCCUUUAUCUAGUCCAUUGUACAAGUUUUUAUUUAAUUUCACUGUAUUUAUAUUUGUCAAUUUCAUUGUGAAUUUAAGUAUGGUUGCAAUCGUUCAAUCGUUUCAUGCAUUAUUUAGUAUACCAAAUUAUAUGAAUUUGUAAUCAUGAAUUCUAUAUUUAGUUAUUCAAAGAUUUUACAUGAUCGUUAUAAAUAUAGUUUCAUGACGUGGUUUGAUCAAUUUUUCUCAAGUGUUGAUGUUCUUCAUUUGAUUAUUAAAUUUUGGAGUAGUUUACCAUACAUCAUCUUAAAUUGUUUGUUCUCUGUUAUGCGACCAAGAAUUCUUUUAUUAUGUAAAGGGAAUAUAAAAUUGGAAAUAGAAAAUACAUGUAAAAAACGAAAAUCACCGGUAUAUAUCAUUGUUCAUUUGUUUCCUCAGUACAUUAACAUUAUCCACACCAUAAACUGCAAGGAAAAAUAAACAAAACUAAAAUGAAAAAAAAUAAUUAUUAGGUAAUUUUUAUUUUUUAAUCUCUUUCACUCAAACUUAUCAUUCGAAUUUUCGAUCUAACGAUAUAAAGAUACUCUACUUUAUAUGUAUAUGUGAAAUUUUGUUUUCUUUUAGUUCUAAUCCCUUCUCAUGUGAAGUUAAUUAUAAUGUUCAUCUGUUGCAUGCCUUAUUUCAUUUUUAUUUGUUUGAUGAUUGAGUAUAUUAUUUGUAGUUAAUAUAAGAUUGAUCGAAGGAUUUGAUAUUAGCCAAAAAAUUUAUAGCUUAGGAUAUAAAUUUAAGAUCGGAGUAAUUUCGUAUUAAUUAACUAAGGUGAGAAUGAGCGAGAUGAGUUGUGGCUUUAUUCAAAAUCCGUCAUAAUAAAGAAAAGAGACCCAAAAAAGAGAAUAUAAAUAGAUAAAAUAAAAUUGUCUUGAGUUUACAAGAGAUAAAAUAAAUGCCUUUUAAUGCUAGAUAAGCUUUAAGAACGUUUGAUAUAUUUGUCUCGAUUAAAAAUGCGGUGUACGCAUCUUUUUGAGACCUUUAAAAAUAAUUCGAGGAUGCAAUAUUGCACUUCGGCAAAGUUCGUCUUAAAAUUAAUUUUCACCAGUUUAAUACAAGAGUUUUAAAUAAUUUUAGUAUAACAAAAUGAGCGAUCUUAGGGCCUACUAACAUAAUUUACUAAAAUAAUUUAAGUCAAGAUAAGUCAAUAAAGCGACCGUGCCAGAAUCAUGGGAUUCGAGGGGUGCCUCACACCUUCCCGUCACUCAACAAAAUUCCUUACCCAGUCUUCUGUUUUCGCAGACUAAUAAAGAGUCAUUUCCUUUUGAUUACAGAUUCAAAAAGAUGACUUGGAACACCAUAACUCAAUUCCAAGUGGCGACUCUGUAAUAAAUUAAUCCCUAUUCAAUACCAUCACUUUAAUUUAAAAAAUCCUUCGAACUCGAACCCCUCGGGCGAAAAAGGGGUGUGACAAUGGUGAAAAUAAUGAAAAUGUAGAAGAUGGGACGCGUGUGUCACACAUCCGGCAGCCAAAUCUGAAUAUAGAGUUUCAGGGGGGUAAUAAUUCCGUUUUUAAAAAGUCUAGGGGGUAAUAGGACCCCCGCAAAGUUCAGUAUGCUCCUCUGAAAAUUUGGUUAAAGUUCAGGUAUUUUCGUAGGUAUUAUCCCUAAAAAAUAUAUAGAAAGUGUAUAAGAAUUAUAUAAUUGUUGUACAAAAUGUGUAAAAAAAAAAAAUUAUUGUCUAAAUUGUGUAUCGAAACUAUAUAAUUUUCGUAUAGAAUAUUUAUAUGUAUAAGAUAUGUAUCGAAACUAUAUAGAAGGUGUGUAGAAACGGUAUAGAACAAGCCAGCAAAUUGAAAUUGCUAGAAACUGAAAUUUAAAUUCUAUGACCAUUUUCGUGGAAAUAGUUUAAUAUUAAGUGCCGUUUUUGUCCCUUCCCCCUAUAAUUUGAUGGACGUACUAUUUUGAUCGUCCCAUUUAACUACAGUUAAAUCUCGUUAUAAUGAUUUUUUACUAUAUCGGUGUAAUUUAGAAUCGAUUUUUCAUGUUAUAUUUUAUCUUUUUUUAUAGCAGCAUUCUACCUAUAAUUGCAAUCACAUUCAUUAUAGUAGUACACUCUUUGUAAAAUUAUAACAGUCAAACUCAAAUAUUAUCUAAUAAUUUGCAAGAAAUAUAUUACGUAUAAAAUUGAUGAAUAUGAACGCAACAAAGUCAUCCAUUAUCUAAUGACAAUAACUUCAACAUACAAAAAGUAUUAACACUUUUGUAAAAGUAUGGAAUGAUGUUAAGACCUCUACAAUUCUCCAUUGUUGGAGAAAUACCUAAAUUCUACCUACCAAUAAUAAUCCCAAUGUUAAUAAUGAAAUAAUAAAUUCUAUUUCUACCUAUCGAAAUAUGUUAGUAUUUUGUCAUCAUUUAUAGCUCAAAUCACAUCUCAUAAUAGCAAUCAAACCGUGGAUGCUACUAAUUAUAUGAAGUUUGACGUAUCACUUCUAAUACUUGAAAUUUAUAUUGAUCAAGAGAUUAUUGCACAAGUAAUUGAAGUGGAAGAACAAGAGACAAUGAAUGCAGAAGAUGAAUACGAAAGUGUUGAUGAAUAGCCUCAACCUACCGCUACUUGAGGUGUGAUAAAAGAGUCGAUUAUUAAACUCUUAAACGUUCUUCAAGAAAAAGUUAUUGAAUACCCUUUUGCUGAAUAUUUGAACAAUUUUUUUUCGUUAAUUCAAGUGAUAUAUUAUCACUAAUAGAUGAAACAACCUAUAUUUAUAGAAUUCUUACAUUAAAUUUGAAAUAUUUUAAAAAGUAUUUUUUUUUUAUAUAUUUUUAUUUAUAAUAGCUUAAUGUAAACAUCAUAUUCCACUGUAAAUAUAUAACGAAUUGAAGACGUAUCAUUUCUCACCAUAUCCUUUUCUCAAGAAUUUUCCACCACCUAAUUUUGUACUAGGAAAUUAGUGAAACUUGGACUCUUCUUAUUGGCAGUCUCUAUUUUCCUUUUGUUCUUUUGUACACUUAACAAGUCACGUAGUCUUUCAACUAUAUAAACUGUUAAAUAUUGAUUCAUUAAAAUUCAAUAGUUUUGAUACAAAGAUGGUACAUGUUGAGAAAUUCAAUAAUUAUAUGCAUAUAUGACAUUAGAAUCAUAUCAUAUUAUAUAAUAAGUAUAUAUUAUGAGCGAAAAGUUCCAAAGUUAAAAGUUAGUGUUCUUAUAAAGUUUAACAACUUUAUUAGUCUUCUAUUAAACACUAAUGAUCGAUGUGUUUUCUAUUUUUAUUUUUAUUUUUUUGAAUUUUUUCUUCAAUUAUAUUUCCUACUGUUCAAAUUGAUCGAUAUGUUUUGACUUGACAUAGAAUUUAAGAAAAUAAAGAAGAUUUUUGAGUUUUAUAGUUUUAAAUUAAAAAUAUACAAAUUUAUCAAAAUAUCCUCUAAUCUUGUGGUCUUAAAUAUGUCAUAUAAAAAAUAAAAAUUAAAGAGCUGCUAAAAAAAUGAUCAUUUAUUUGAAACGAACUAAAAAAAAUAGGUCAAAAAAAUUAAAAAAAAGGCAAUAAUUUUUUUUUUUUUUUCAGUCGAAGUAUUUUCAGGCUUUUUAAUUAGAGGUGUUACAUAUCUAUUCUGCGAAGUGCCGAAUAGAGUUGAAAGUGCAGUAGGUCAUGAAAAUGUUCUUGACAUGAAAUAAGAUAACUUAUGUAUGCAUAAUUAUUAAUAAAUAUUUAUUUUAAUUAAAUAUUUCAUCAUGAAUAUACAUUAAAGUUAUUUUUUUGAAAUUUUAUGAGAGAAGUAGGAGUGGAAAAAAAGUGAAAACAUGUUUUACUUAUUUUCUUUUCCAAAAAAAAUUCCACUUGAAAUAAUUCUUAUGACCAAACACUACAAUUUUUUUCCAAUAAAAUAAAAUAAUUAUAAAAAAUACGUAUAAGUAUCUAUGUUCCUUUUGUUUUUCUGUACACUUAACAGCAUGUACCUCACACAAUCUUUUUAACUAUAUUGAUGCUGGGAGCACAGAUAUAGUACAUAGACCAUUCGAGUGCGGCUCAAUUAUUUUAGUCAAAAAUUAUUUAGAGGUCUUAAGGUUUAAAAAUAUUAUUUUUUUCUCAAAAAAAUUUGAUUUUUCUAGUUUUUUAACAUGCAAAAUUAGUAGUUAUAGUUUUCUUAUUUUCUAUUUCUUUUAAUAAUUAUUUUUUUAAAUGAUAUUAUAACAAAUUCAUUUAUUCUUUGGAAUUGUUGAUCUUAGAUAAGAUUUUUUCAUAUGAAUUUUUAAAAAUGUAUUUGUGUUGGACAAUUGCUAUAGGAACUGUUAACAUUAUUCUAUAAGAAUAAUAGAAGAGAAACAAACUAAUUAUAAAAAUAUCUCUCUAUCUCUAAAGUUUACUAAUUUGAAAAAGCAUCAAGUCUUUUUAUCUACUUUAAUAUGUUGAUUAGAGUAUUAUUUUUUACUUGUACUACUUUCCCUUAAUUAACACUUUCAAUUUUGAAAAUAAGUCUAAAUAGUCAAUAUCAGGUUAUAUUUUAAGAAAAAUUCAAAUUUAAGACAAUAUUGUUUCAAACUCUCUUCAUCUGACAAUGUCAAAUAAGUAUUGAACUUAAAACUGCCAUAAUGUUUCAUGAAUUUGAAAAACUUUAAAAAAAAUUAUUUUCACUUCAAAUCAUUCACAAAAUUCAAAAAUAAAUUCGAUUUAUAUCCAUGUCCAAACAAACUCCAAUUUCCAAACAUUACUUUUAACUCAAAAAUAAAUAUUUUUUUUUUCUAAAUUUCAUAUUUUUUAUAUCCAAACAUCGCUCUAUUAUUUGUAAAAAAUAAGGCCCCCAAAAGCAAGUGUCUUACAUGCUUCACAGCCAGCUCUGAGACCAUUAAAUGUUCAUCCAAACUUAAUAGUUUUGAUUCUGAAUCUUGUAUAUACAUCACCAAAUUUUAUAUAUAUAUAUAUAUAAGUUAAAUUAGAAUUCAAUUACUAAUACUUGAAAUUAUUGUGUUCUAGAAUCCAUAAACUCAUAGAGGUUAUGAAAUUUUGAAUGUGUCAAGCAUUUUCUUAUUAUACUGUUUGAACACCCUUCUCCCUAAGGCACUUAUGGUGCAUGUUUUCUCUCUAGAUAUUCAUUCUAUCACAUCUUAGGUGAAUAUUGACAAAGCAUAAUAAUAUUGGUUAUCUAAGGAAGCAUUUCUUAUAGACCCUACUAACAAGUUUUAAAAUCGUGUGAAUCUAGAUAGAACGUAGAUAAUAUCACUUAUAUUAGCUGGGCUAGGUUUUUAUACAACUAAUAAUAAAAUACUUACGCAGAUCACCAACAACAAUUAUGGUGAAGUGGCAAUUAAAUUCUCAUUCAUCCUUAAUAAGAUAUUCUGAGUUCGAGUCCCUAAUACCGAUAUAUGUUCUAAGAAAUUAAAAAUAGCGGUCGUUCUUAAACUUGGGUUGCAUCUGCCUAAAAGUUUGAAUUUAGUGUUCCACUACCAUCCAAGUUCUUAACUUUGAAUUUUCUUUUUCCAUUAUUAUAUAUAUGUAAGUAUAAUGUUCAAAAAUUAAAAAAAAAAUUCCAGCUUGAAUAAUAGAUCCCCUAGGCCCAGAUACAUUACCUACAAGUUCUAGUAGCAACACACCUUGCACCAUUAUAUUGACUAGACAACAAGUCCAGCCAAACCAGUACAUUAUCAAAAACCAAAAUUUCAAACAAAUUUAACCACGUAAUUAGUAACUUAACAACGAUGUUGCCCCAUUUUUACCCUAUAAAUACCCUUCAAAUUACUCCCUAAUAAACAUCAUCACUUGUCCAAUUUACUACUCACCAAAAAAAAGAAAAAUGAGAGCUUCAAUUUUUAUUCUCUUUGCCCUUUUCUACUUCACUUAUAAUGCCAAUGCAGCCACUAUUGUAGUUCGUAACAAUUGUCCCUAUACUGUUUGGGCUGCCGGUGUCCCGACCGGAGGCGGCAAACGUCUAGACCGUGGCCAGACGUGGACCAUCAACCCCCCUGCAGGGACGAAACAAGCUCGAAUUUGGGGCCGAACCGGAUGCAAUUUCGAUGCAUCUGGUAAGGGAAAAUGUCAAACAGGAGACUGUAACGGUCUCCUAGAAUGUAAAGCAUUUGGGGUACCCCCAAAUACAUUAGCUGAAUAUGCCCUAAACCAAUUCUCGAACAAAGACUUUUUUGAUAUUUCUCUAGUCGAUGGAUUCAACGUUCCUAUGGAAUUUAGUCCAACUUCCAAUGGGUGCACCCGUGGCAUAACAUGCAAAGGUGAUCAAAUUAAUCAACAGUGUCCUAGUCAAUUGAAGGCUCCUGGAGGAUGUAACAAUCCUUGUACUGUCUUCAAGACUGAUCAAUAUUGUUGCAACUCAGGCAGCUGCGGCGCCACGAAUUUUUCGAGGCAUUUUAAGGAGAGGUGUCCUGAUGCAUACAGUUACCCUAAGGAUGAUCAGACAAGUACUUUCACUUGUCCUGCUGGUACUAAUUAUAAGGUUGUGUUCUGUCCUUGAAAUUUGAAUGGAUUGUAUUCAACUUUUGUAUUAAUUUGAAUAAGGCUACGUUGUCCUCUUAGCUAGGAGGACUAGUUAUUGUAUGGCCAAGUAAUAAUAUUGUGUUGUUACUCAUCAUGUAGUGAUGUAAGUUACUGUAUUAUAGUUAUUUUGUGACAAAUUAAAGUAAAAUAAAGAACGUAUUUAUGAUGGUAUAGUUUGGUUACUUUCAUCUUCUUCUGAGGAGUUUUAAGUUCUAUGCGGUUUAAGAAUAAGUAAUUUAAUUACACCAUUAGGCAUUAGAUGUAGGUGAAUUUUUGAUCGCUAAUAUGACAAAAAAAUGAUACUUAACCUGUCAUUACUGGUUAAAAUUAUUCAUUUUUAUUUUUUGAGAAUUAAUGACUUUGAAGUUUCCUGUAUGACUUGAAAUUUGUAAUUUGGUUACACCAAAAAGUACUCCCUCCGUUCCACAAUAAGUUAAUUAUUGAAUUUUGGCACACAUGUUAAGAAAAAAUGCAAAGACAUAAAUUUAUCAUGUCUUUCCAUUUUUACCCUCUUCAAAAAGUAAAGACACAUGAUACAUCACUCUCAAUGCACAUUUAAUGGAGGGUAAAUUUGAAAAAAAUUUCCAACAUUUAUCUUGAAUUGUGAACCAUUUACUUAUUUUAAAAUAUUAAAAUUGCUCCAACAAACAAUUCAGUUAUUGUGAAACGGAAGGAGUACACCAAAUACGAGACGAGGAAAAUCGUCAAUGAAGAAUCAUGGUCCUUUUAGGGGACACGUGUCCAGAAAAAUUGUGACAUUAGUUUUUGUUUUUGGGUCCAAGACAUAGAAGAAGAAUAAUUGUCAAAGUAGUGAGACGCUACAACACUAACAAUUAAUAUACCAAAAUUUCUUAUUUGUUAUUAAUAUAUUUGUAUUAUAUAUAUUUAUUAGAAAAAAAGUUUAGAAAUUUUGAUUUUUGGAUCGAGUCAACUUCUCCUAUAAAGUGGUUCUCUUUCGUGUGAUUAAUAUAUCCCUCAAGAAAACCCUCACCCCUUCCUCAAAAUUAAUAAGAAGCUCUCUUCUUUUUUCUUCGUGAUUAUUCUUGUCUUAGCAAAGAAUUAAUAACAGUAUCAAACAUUCAAUCUACUGCUACUGACUGAUCAAAAAAAUAGGCAAAGGACUUGAUUAUAGUAUAGAUGGAAUGUUUUCGUGAAUAUCAGAUAAUCAAUCAAGCACUUGGGGCAGAGACUUUAUUUUGCCAAGAUGGAGUUGCUGAAUACUCAAUCACUUAAGCAAGCCUCAGAGAGUUUAUUUUACCAAGACGGAGUAGCUGAAUACUCAAUUUUUAUCUACUUAAAACAGACAACACCUAGCUUUUAUCACUAGCCCAAUAAAUAUUAUCAAAGUUAAUAAUUUGACGAGAUAAAUAUGGAGGAUGUGGAGCCUGUUUUGCUGCCUUUAUUUGGAACUUGGAGGUGCGCCACCCAAAAGAAAAAUAAGAGGAAAGAAAGAAAGAAGAAGAAGAAAAUUGUAUGUAAAUUUCUAUGGUCAUACAUACUCAAAAAUAUGGAUAACACAAGAUAAAUCAGAUUAACCCUUGAAUCUUAGUGAUAUGGUAUGUAAAAUUAAGAUAUGAUAGUCUGAUAAUUCGUGAUGUGAAAUGUAGUUCGUGGAGGUGAUUAUUAGGUGUGCAAAUAUAGAAGGUAUACCCAUACGGAGUAAAAAUAUUUUUACCGGAGUGAGGUUCUUUGAGGAGAAUCUGAAUGUUUCAGACUUCAGAUCAUUAAAUGUAUUUAUUUUUCAGUGAGAUUUUAGCUCUUAAUGGGUCUUUAAUCAUUCAGAUUAAAAUCAAAUCUUAAUAGGUCUGAAGAGGUAUUUUGGUGUUGGAUAAUAUUUAUCGCCACUCUAUUCAUAAUCAUUUGUCAUCAUCUCUGUCACCGCCAUCAUUGUCAAUGACCACCCACCACCAUCACAACCACUAUCGAUAACAAAUAUCGCUAUCAAUCACAAUUGACAAUCGCUACCACACUUACUACCUCUAUUAUUCUAAUUAUAUUUACCGCCACCACCGUCAUCACCACCACCACCAUCAUCAACCACUACCGGCCAAUCCCUACUAUUGACCAACUCAUCUAUCACAACUAGCACCACCGCUAACUACCACUAAUACAUCACAACCUCUACACAUUCUUCGGCAGCCACCACCAUUUUCACUAGUAAGGUACCUCUACCAUCACUUCAAUCAUUAUCAUCGCUAUAAUUUAUCUCUACUAACAACCAUCUCCACCAUCACAACUAACAACAUCUCCAACUAGCACCAACACAUCGUCAACCAUCGUGGAUUCAUUUUCAGCCAUCACAAUCAACAUCUCUAACUACUAACAUCAAGCAACGUCACAUCACAACCACCACCACCACUAUUAACCGUCAUCAUAACAAUCACUACAAUACCAACUAUCACAACUAUCACGAUUAACAUUACUAAUCACUAACAUCAAUCAUUAUCACCACAACCACCAUUAUAAACCACCUCCACUAUCACUAACAAGCAUAAAUAUUUUUUUUUUUCCAAUCAAAUAAAUAAUUUUAUUAUAUUAAAUUACAUACUUUUCUAAUAUAUAAUUAAUUUUUUAUUUAAAUUAUAUUUUUUAUUUUAUAAUAAAAAAACAAUUUUUUUUUACACAUUCAAAUAUUAAAAAAUAAACAGUUUUAAUCAUUUAGUUUGUAGAUACAUAAUUUUAUCAGCCCAAAAAUUAAUUUCUACUAAUUUUAUCUACCCUGCCCCUGCCCCUACCCCUACCUAAUCUUACCCCUAUACUGGCACACCCACGUGCGCCCUCCAUUUGGUCAACAAAAAAACAAAUACUACAGUCACUCACAGAAGACACAGAUUACACACAUUACAUUAUCUACACAAGAUAACACUACACAGGGGGAUUCUCGGCACAAUUUUUGUCCACCAAACACACUGCCAUAAACACCUUCACAUAUUCACACACAUCUCCAUCUCCAUCUCCAUUCUUUUCAUGGAUUAGCAACAACCCAAUUCACAGACACAACCUCACUUUCACAGUCAUAGACAUACGACACACGGGAAAAUAAAAAAGAGGGUGAAGGACGAGAUUGAGGGAAGAGAAUAACAUGAGAGAGGAAAGGACAAAGAGAAUCGAGUGAAUGGGGUUGAAUGGAGAGAGAGAGGAGAUCGAGAGAUUUGAGGAGAGAGAGAUUGAGAUCCAGGGAGAUGAACGGAGAAGGGGUAACAGAAUAAAUCCGGCGUUUUGACUGUUUUUCUAGCGAACCUUUUCGCCAGAAUUGGUUUACAGUUGUCCGAGUAUUAUUUCCUUGAUACCGAGUUGGAUUCUUGUUCGCUGUUGAACUUCUAUUCAGAAUUUCAACUCCGGGCUUUCUUGAACAUUAUUACCAACGAAAUCUAUUCUUCGAAGGUCUAAUUCUAUCUUCUCUCCCUCUAAUGUUACGUAAUUAUGAAUGAUUUGUGUGUUUGACAUGUUUGAAUCUUUGUCUUGUUGGUUAAUGUUGGAUUUGAAUGCGAAAACUUGUUUGGUGGAUUGCGUAUUGAAUUUGUUUAAUCAUGUUGAGAAUGGAUGUGGGGUUGAGAAUUGAAAACCGAUAGGAAAUGAGUGUAUUGGUUCAUAUCGAUUAAUUCAUGUUUAUUUGAUGCACAAUAGGCGUCAAUUUGCUAAGUUUGAUAAUAUCCUAGUAUGCAAAUGCUAAGUCGGGUGGCCAAUUUUAGGAGUGGUAUUUUGUUGAAAGUUUGAAUGUGCGUGUGAACAUUUCUUUAUACUUUAUCGCAUAAGCUUUGAUGAUGUAUUCAUUCACCAGGGAAUGUCAUGAGAUUAUGUUGUACUUAUUCAAUGGGGAAUGUCCCGAAGUAUUUUGUACUCGGAGGACGUCCGUGACAAAGGCUCGAGGCAUCGGGUAAAGUGUUGGAGCGUAGUUUAGGAUUAGUGUAGAUUAACGUAGGUUUACAUUUAUCCAUUUUUCUAUUUUAGGAUUGUAUAAUUGGACUGGACAUUAUAUUUUUUGCAAUUCAUUUUGUUUGUGUUGGUGUGUUUAAUUGUUGUGUGUUUAUGUGGUUUAUACAUUCCGUAGACACUUAAUUUUGUCCCUCCUGAAGUCUAAUUUUAUUCAUUUUUAGUUCACCUUACCAUGUGUCCAACCCCAUGUAAUUAUAUCCCACAAAAAUACAAAAAUAAACAAAAAAACAAUACCUCUAACUAAUUUAUCUUAUCCUAACAACCUACCCAAUCAAAAGCUUCCACCUCCCUAACCACUCACAUUUUUAUCCUCACAAUAACAAACUAAAAAAAAGAAUAUAUGGGGGACCCACCAAAAUUUUCACAUCAUAACAAAUUCAUGCCCAUUAUAAAAGAAAAAUUCUAAGAGGGCAAAAGGGGAGGCUUAUUCUUUGAUCAUCAUCUUCUCCAUAAUAACAACAAUCGCAAAAUAAUCUUCCUCACAAGAACAACAACAACAACAAAAAAAAGGGACGCUGGUGAAUAGUAAUCGGUGAACAGUAACAACGUGAAAAGUGACGGUGAACGGGUCAUUAUUUGUCGAGUUGGAUUAUUGGUGUUAAGGUUCGGCUCGAGGUUUCCGGGUGCGGACUUUCUUUAUUCGAAUAACAUUGAGUUUGAAAGCUUCAAAUUUAAGGUCCAAUUCUUUCUUCUCUUUUAAUUAAUUCUUAUGUGAUUGUGAUUGUGUGUGAUUCGAUACCGUGGUUUGUUUGUUGAUGUGAAUUGUUGGUGACAUUUGGGUGUGUGAUGUGCUAAGCAUGAUUGGUGAAUUUUCGUUAUUCUCGAUUGGUGGAUUGUGUAUUGAAAUGAAUUAAUCACGUGGUUGAAAAUGAAUUAAGGUAGGGAUUAAAAAUGGAGGAAAAUUAACAUUGAUUAAUUUUGAUGUAUUGAUAAUGUUGAACAUGAUAGAAUUGUGAUACGUUGAACUUGGUAGGCAAACGUAGGCCGGGUAGGCAAAUUUAGGAAUAACGAUUUGUUGGAGUGUUUGAAUAUGUGUGUGAAUGGUACUUUCUACUUUAUUGCACGAAAAGGUUAAAUUGUACUCAUUUGGUCGGGGAAUGCCCCGAAGUAGCAUGUACGCAAAGGAGGCUCGUGAUCAAGGCCCGGAACGUUGGGUGGAGUUUAGUUUAGGAUUAGUUUAGAAUAAAAUAAGUUUUAUAUUUCAGCACCUCUUUUAUUUUGAAUUGUAUAAUUUGGACUGAACAUUAUUUUGGUUUGUUUUGAAUUUUGUGUGAUUUGUUUGUUUGCUUGUUUUGUGUGUUUAUGUGGUUUGUACAUUUGUAAUGUCAAAUUAGCCGAUACGAUUCACCAAGCGACCGUGGUCGAAUCACAGGAUCGAGGGGUGCCUAACACCUUCCCCUCGGUCAACAGAAUUCCUUAGCCGGAAUCUCUGUUCGCGGAUCAGUUUUUAGAGUCAAACCGUUUUGAAAAGGAUUUUUCAAAGGUGACUUGACACACCGGAUUAUGUCAAAUGGCGACUUUGAAUAAAAAAAAAAUAGUAAUGUAAAUAAUUCUUUUUUUUUUCAAAACAAAUUUUUCAUUUUUGUCACUUUAAUAAUAAAACCCUUUCGAACUUAAAAUACAUUUCUUUUUUUUGGAGUCGAAAAAGGGGUGUGACAACUCUGGCGACUCUGCUGGGGAACUUGUUCAGAAUUCGAGCUUAUUUUGGAGUCGUAUCGGCUUUGUUUGGCACUAUAGGUGUAUAAACAUUUUUUUUUGUGUGUUGUUUUGUGUUAUUAUUUUAUCAUUAUGGAAUGUUUUCGUGCUAUUUGUAUACAGUGUUUAUCCUAUAUGUUACCGCUUUUAUAUCUGGCAUCAUGUGUCUACCCCCAAGCCUUUUUUCUGCAACAAGUUCGUAGUACACGUGUUGUACACGACCUCUAGUUGAAUCACCCUUAUUUUAGGGGGGGAGCCGUCGGUGUUAUGGAGUAGGUAGAAAGCAAAGCAGUCAUUAUCGACCAUACGCUCUCCCGAACACCCUUGUUAGUAAACCCCAAUGUAGGUCAGCCUUUAGGUCAUGCUUAUGUGCAUCAUAUUGAGACCUAGCGGGGCCCACUUGGUCCUUUGUAGGAGAUUCACCUCUAAAGCAUCUCUACGUGCUAAAUGUUGCAUCUUUGAGAAUAACGUGGUCAUUUGAUGGAUUGAUUUGGGAAAACAUGUGUUAGAAGUAAUAUGUGUGAGUAAUGAAAAAAAAAAUAAGAAAAAAAAAGAGUUUCGUAGCUUUUAGAGUUUUUUAUGACUUUUAUUUUUCAAAAUUCCAAAAUUCAAAAGGACUUUUUUACCUCCCGCACUCAUUUUCUCAAAAAUAUCAAAAAGAUUUUCCUUUGUCUCGUUUAGCAUGCAUUCACAAUUCGAAAACUUCAAAAAGAUUUUUUCAUUCAUAGGAUGUGUUUAUAAAAGAAAAAUUAAAAAAAAAAAAAGAUGUUAGAAAUUUUUUACAUUUCGUAUAACGAAAAUACCAAAAAGAUUUUUCUUUCAUAGUUGUUGAUAUCAUUUUUCUGUGAAGUAUCAAAAUGAAAACUCAAAAGAUUUUAUUAACAUGGUUCAUCGUCUGUCUUUGGUCGUAUCUCUUAAGUCAGGGUCUAGCCUGUUAUUUCAUCAUUAAUUGUCCAAUCUGGAUGAACUACGCACCCCUGAUUCUCCUCUUUUGGGAGUGAGAUACGUAGGCAGCCUAUUGUUGGUUCGGGGAUCUUAUUUGAAAAAUCCAAAAAAUAUUUCUUCACUCUCCAUUUAGAGUAGGCGUUUAAUAUACGUCUUUAAAAGAAAACUACAAAAAGAUUUUCCUUUAAUAGGUUCAAGUUUCAUUUUCACAUGAACUUCAAAAAUCGAAAAUCCAAAAAGAUUUUUCUUUGGUAAUCACAGGUUUUAUUUUUUAUAGAGAUUUAAACCUAAAAAAAAAAAGAUUUUCGUCAAUUCUUUUGACACUUUGUUUCAAGAAAGAAAAAAGAGUUUAAUUGGCCAUUUUGGCAAAACUUCACGAACUACGCACACCUGAUUCUCCCCUUUUGGGGGUGAGAUACAUAGGCACCCUUGUUGGGUUCGGUGAUCUUUUCAAGAAAAAAAAGACGUUUUAAAAAAAAACUGUUGAACUCUUGCAUCACCUGAUUUUCCUCUCUCGGGGGUGAGAUACGUAGGCUGCCUUACUCUGGGCUCGGUCCAACCAAAUAAAUAAUUUAGAAUUGCCCAGUUAAAAGAAAUUGGGGCAUGAGUUAAUACUCAUUGUUUGAGUCAAUUUCAAAAGUUGUAAGUCCCACCCCACUUUAAGUGUCGUUUGGGCCUCAUGCCACCCUUUCUUUCUAACCAUAUCCAAAAGCCAAGUUACAGCCAAAGAAAAACCUUCAAAAUAAAUCUUUGAAAAUGUUAAGGCUAAGCAUGUAAUGGAUGUGAUGAUGCAUUUAGGCACUACUUGUUUUCUGCAGCAUAAGAAAUCAGGAGAGAAAUAAAAAUGAGAGAGUCUUAUUGGUGAAAACCCUCACAGGUACCAUAAGAUGAUGGUAAGUUGAGAGAUAAAAAUGAGAGAGUCUUAUUGAUGAAAACCCUCACGGGAACUGUAAGACGACUGUGAGUUGAGAGAAAUGAAAAUAAGAGAGUCUCGUUAGUGAAAAAAACUCUCGGAUACCGUAAGGCAAUGGUGAGGUGAUAAAAAAGAAAACAAGAGAAGAUUGUUGGCAAAAAUCCUUCAAGGCUCUACUAGCCGAAUGAGGUCUCCGAAUGCAAUUGGCCCAAGGAAGCAUCUCAGUUUCAGGGUCAUUAACUCAACAACAAUUUAUGAGAAUUUUGGAUGGAAAAUCAGGCAGUUUAAUUCGAUAUGCAUGUCAUAAUCAUUAGAGUUGACUGUCAUUUCCAGAUAAACUUUUCUUUUAUCUUUUUCAAAUGUGGACGUUCAUUGUCUUUUCUUUCUUCUAUGCGUUUUUAUUUUAUUUUUUUGAGUUAGUUAUCCAAAUAAAAAAAAUCAUUGUCAUUUUUUCUCUUGUCUUUGAGUCAAGUCCAUAUUAAAACAAGUGAGAAAAGAUUUCAAAACUGGCUCCCAGCUUCUUCAAUUGCACAAAGUAAAACAAAGGGCCAACACAUGAAAUAAACAAGAUUGCAAAUCAGAACAAGACACGCAACAAGUUUUUGUCAACACACAAAUUUGGAGAAUUCAUGGAAAUACUGAAGUUUAAAGGGGAUUGUCUGAGAAACAUAGCAAAGCAGAGAUACUGUUGUUUGUUUCAGAGUCACUCUUAAUAUUUUGAGUGUGAACCAACGGUGCAACAAGGCAAUGGAAAAAGCUAAUGAUGGGAAGCAAGAUCUAAAUGGGAAAAGUGAAAGAGAAAUCUUCUCGAAUGCCAAAGCCGCAUGCCAACCACCCUAUUUUAAACUCACAAGUUUUCUUUGUAUGAAACAAGAACAACUGCUGUCUUCAAAUCGAAGGCUUCAAAUCGCGAAUAUUCAGAUGUGCAAUUCCUCAUUUCUGCAAAUGCAAAAGUAGUGUUGUUGUACAGGUUUGAUAAUCACAAUUUUGGUAAAACUCGUCAUUUUUGUACACCUAAGAGACACAUUCUCUAAUUUGAGUCUUUUAUGUCUCAUGGCUAGAGGGUGAUUUUCAUAAUUUGAGUUGUUAAUCCUAAGAAAUGAACUCUUAGUGAGAAUCUUUCACCUUUACUCUUUAGAGAGGGGCUUGUUGGUUUCAAGCAUUCAACUUUACCCUAAAAAAGGUGCAUUUAUUGAUCAGAAUCUUGAUUUAUCUUUGCAUUAUGCAUUGUCGCAAGUAGUUGUGAUUGCGUUUGACACCCGCAAAAGCUUUUGAUGAUGAACUGGGGUAAAAAGAAAAUUUAAUUCCUGUUAUUUGAAACUUAUGUUCAGGAUCCUCCUGAAAAAUGGGAAUUUACUUUAUGUUCUAAACCCUCCUGGAAAAUGGUAACUUACUUUAUGUUCAGGACUCUCUGAAAAAUUAGAAUUUACUUUAUAUUCGGGACCCUCCUGGAAAAUGAAAAUUUACUUUAUAUUCGGGACCCUCCUGAAAAAUGGAAACUUACUUUAUGUUCAGGACCCUCCUGAAAAAUGAAAAUUUACUUUUUGUUCAGGACCCUCCUGGAAAAUGGAAACUUACUUUAUGUUCAGGACCCUCCUGGAAAAAUAAAAAUUUACUUUGUGUACAGGACCCUCUUGAAAAAUGGAAACUCACAUUAUUUCAGGACCCUCCUGAAAAAUGAGAACAUUAUAUUCAAGACCCUCCUGAAAAAUAAAAAUUUAUAUUAUGUUCAGGACCCUCCUGAAAAAUGGGAGUUUACCUUUAUAUUCACGACCCUCCUGGAAAAUGGGAACUUACUUUCAUCCAGGACCCUCCUGAAAAAUGAAAACUUACUUUAUAUUCAGGACCCUCCUUGAAAAUGGGAAUUUACUUUAUGUUCAGGACCCUCCUGAAAAAUGGAAAUUUAUUUUAUGUGCAGGACCCUCCUGAAAUAUAAAAAUUUACUUUAUGUUCAGACCCUCCUGGAAAAUGGGACAUUAUCUUAUGUUCAGGACUCUCCUGAAAAAUAAGACAUUACUUUAUGUUCAGGACCCUCCUGGAAAAUAGGACAUUACUUUAUGUUCAGGACCCUCCUGGAAAAUGGGACAUUACUUUAUGUUUAGGAUCCGCUUGAAAAAUAGGACACUACUUAAAAAAAAUAAAUGAAUGAAAUCUUUCUUUAUCAUAAUCUUUGUUUGGAAUAAUUUUCGUUCUAGUUUUGAUUUUGAUUUUAGGAGCCCGCCUGAAGAACAAGGUGAUGAAGCUGUAAGUCAGGAGCCCGCCUGAAGAACAGGGUGAUAAAAUUGCAAGUCAGGAGCCCGCCUGAUGAACAGGGUGAUGAAAUUAAAAGUCGGGAGCUCACUCGGAGAACAAAGUGAGAAAAUUCCAAGUCAGGAGCCCGCUUGAAGAACAGGGUGAUGAAAUUAAAGUGUUAUCUCUAAGUGUUAGUUUUGUUCCUCACUAACACGUUGAGUCUAUAUCUAGAUUUGAGCUUUAAAAAUUGAUGUUGUUGUUGUGAACAUAAGACUUGGCUGAAUUAUUGUUGAAACAUUAUUAUGGUGGACUGUUUUGGCCUUGUGGUCUUCAUCUUGUUGUUGUUCUAAGCUUGGACACGUGGCAUUUUUGCUCAUUGGUGGCCUAAGAACUAUCUUGUUGAAGUUGUAGUUGUCUUGGCCAAGUGUUGAAGAUAUUGUCUUGUGAAAAUCGGAAGUUGGUCGUGUGAAAAUUGUUGGUGUUCUUGGAGAUUGUUGUUGGUUGUUCUGGGUGAUUGUUGAUGUUGUUCAUGGAGUUCUUCACAACCUUCAUAGCUUUUUAAAAUAAAGCGAACCUUAGAUCUAUAAAGGUGAAGGGAAAAGGUAAAGCUUUGUUAGUCUUGAAAGACUUACCAUCACUCAUCAACUAGUCAAUCAUAUCUCAACCACUUUAAAACAACUUUCCAUGAUUCAAGAAUCCAUGUUUUAAGGGUAGUAUAAGUCUAGUCAAAGACAUUUGAGUCUUGAAUUUUGAAUUGAAAAGAAGCUCCAAAAACUAGUUUGUAUUUCCCUUCAUUGAACAAGUUCCACCAAAGGUCCCAUAUUGAAAAUCGACCAAACCAAUACGUGGCUGCCACAUCACGUUUUACUGUUCACCCAACAGAAUUUUAAGCUCAAAUUUUGAUCUUUUAGUUUCAUUGUGUUGUCUCUUUAGUUUCGUUUGUUGAUUCCAUUACUAACGUACGAGAUAGUACUAGAUUGUAAGUUAGUUUUGAAACCGUUCUUUGUGUUAACUUUCCUUUGUGUGUUUUAAUCCUUUGAGUCAUUGUAACGUCCUUGUGUUUUUUUUCCUUACUCUUUGGAGUCAUUUUCAACAUUGGAUUCACCUCUCAACACCUCUCGGAGUACAAGCAAGCUUUUAAUACUUGUGAGAUUGAGUGUGAGGGAUCCGAGAGACCUGAAAUAGAAGAGAGAGUGGGGAUAUUUGUAUAACUAACGUGUUUUCUAUUUUGUAGGUCACUUCUUUGCCACAAUGGAUACCAUUUUAGCCUACCUUGAUGCUAUUGCCCGAGAAAUAGAUAAGGCGAAUGUGGGUCUUGAAAAAUUGGGCUCGGAUAUGUCUACUAUACUUGAGAGGUUGGAUCGAGUGGAGAGUCGAAGGAAUUCUCGUGAUUCUACUUCCGAAUCUUUACCUCAAGCAAUCAAUCCUCUAAUACCACCACCAAAUGACAUAGAAAUAAGCUAAGCUACCAAAUGUCCUCUAACCCGAGACCUACAUAGGUCGAUCCCUCCUCCAUUAGAUCAAGUCCAAUAAAAAGGACUUGGAAGCCAAAUCUCUCUCGUCCAAGCUCCACAACCGAAGCUCCACUUUACCAAAUCAAUCCUCUCAAUGGAAACUCCACUUCACCAAAGCCGACAUGUCCAUGUAGAGGAGAAUGGUAGAAAAGAACAUGACGGAUAUGGAUUCUACGACGAUGCUUGUAUGAUGGUAGGAGACUUGUUUCGGAUGAGAUUGAAGACAAGGUUCAAAAUAGAGAGGAAGACGGGAUUCAAAAUAAAGAUGUUGGCCAAGACUUGUGUUAAUGUUUUGCGGGCUAUUUUGAGUGGUUUAUUUUAAGGUGGUCGAUUGAACAAGGUGAAGUCGUGAAUUUGUGGGCAAAUUCCUUUCAAGAUGGAGAGGACGAUACAGGAAUAAUCAUGGAUAUGGACUUAUGGGAGUGCAUUUUGGGUCCGAGACUUGGUGUCUGCAAUUGAAGUGUAAAAAGGAACCUAAGUGCACUAAAAAUCAGCCAACAUAUUACACUUGAUAGGCACCUAAGUCUCUAAGGGGCCUUUUGUUUUUUUUUUAAUUAUUUUAUUUGUAACCUAGUAUAAAUAGAACAUUGUAGGGUUUUUAGACUUAGUUUAUUGAUGAUGUUGUAAGUAUUAAGACAUUGGAAAACGCAAGUCCUCUCUUCUCUUUGGAGGUAAAACCAAAACUAGGAUACAACAAUAGGGUGAAUUCUUUUUUUUUAUGUUUGCUUGGAAACAUUGAUGCUUGGGAGGUGGAUUCUGAUCUUGUGUCUUUGUAAGAGAUAGGUUUAUUGUUGUGUGUAGUGUUAAGGGUCCAAGAUUGUCCAUUCUUGGGUUCUUAAGAUUAUAUCUUCAUGUAGUCUAUCUAUCUAUCCUUUUACCUUCUUGUAAUCUUGUUUAUUGUUUGUGUUGUAAUCUUGUGUUCUUGUUGUUAUUGUUAAAUCCGAAUCUUGUGUCUUCUUUUUUAUCAUCUUGUGUUAAUCUUGUUCUUGUUCUUUUUGCUGUUUUGGUGUUAAAAUACACAUUGUAUCUUGUACCCAUCUUGUUGAUAGCGAAUCCGAGAGUGGUCUCCAUCUUGGUCCUCAGAUCCUUAAGAUUGUGGACUGAUUUGGAGUGUGUUUUUUGCCUUUCGUUGUCAUUCUUGUAUCAUACCUAUCCCCACCCCCACCUAAUCUUACCCCUAAACUAGCACACCCACGUGCACCCUCCAUUUGGUUAACAAAAAAACAAAUACAACAUACACUCACUCAUAGAAGACACAUAUUACACACACUACAUUAUCUACACAAGACAACACUACACAGGGGGAAUUCUCGGCACAAUUUUUGUCCACCAAACACACUGCCAUAAACACCAUCACAUAUUCACACACAUCUCCAUAUCUAUUUUUUUCAUGGAUUAACAACAACCCAAUUCACAGACACAACCUCACUCUCACAGUCAUAGAUAUACGACACACGGGAAAAGAAAAAAAAGGGUGAAGGACGAGAUCGAGGAAAGAGAAUGACAUGAGAGAGGAAAGGAUAAAGAGAAUCGAGUGAGUGGGCGGAGAGAGAGAUUGAGAUCAUGGAUAUGAAUGGAGAAAUGGUAACAAUAGAAAUCUGGUGUUUUGACUGUUUUUUCGGCGAACUUUUUCGCCAGAAUUGGUUUACAGUUGUCCGAGUAUUAUUUCCUUGAUACCGAGUUGGAUUCUUGUUCGCUGUUGAGGUUCUAUUCGAAAUUUCAAGAACGGGUUUUCUUGAACAUUAUUACCAACGAAAUCGAUUCUUCGAAGGUCCAAUUCUAUCUUUUCUCCCUCUAAUUUUACGUAAUUACGAAUGAUUUGUGUGUUUGGCAUGUUUGAAUCUUCAUCUUGUUGGUUAAUGUUGGAUUUGGAUGUGAAAACUUGAUUGGUAGAUUGCGUAUUGAAUUUGUUUAAUCAUGUUGAGAAUGGAUGUGGGGGUGAGAAUUGAAAACAGAUAAGAAAUGAGUGUGAUUGGUUCAUAUCGAUUAAUUCAUGUUUGUUUGAUGCCAAAUAGGCGUCGAAUUUGCUAAGUUUGAUAAUAUCACAUUUUAGAUCGAAACUAGUAUGCAAAUACUAAGUCUGGUAGGCAAAUUUUAGGAGCGGUGUUUUGUUGAAAGCUUGAAUAUGCGUGUGAACGUUUCUUCCUACUUUAUCGCAUAAGAUUUGAUGAUGUAUUCAUUCACCGGGGAAUGCCCUGGGAUUAUAUUGUACUUAUUCACCGGGGAAUGCCCCGAAGUAUUUUGUACUCGGAGGACAUCCGUGACGAAGACCCGAGGCAUCGAGUAAAGCGUUGGAGCGUAGUUUAGGAUUAAUGUAGAUUAGCGUAGGUUCACAUUUAUGCAUUUUUCUAUUUUGGGACUGUAUAAUUGGACUGG
This 81135-nucleotide long non-coding RNA is filed under the name Capsicum annuum. RNAcentral's name for it is "long non-coding RNA (CANN_LNC000057)". The record is from RNAcentral. Lineage: Eukaryota; Viridiplantae; Streptophyta; Magnoliopsida; Solanales; Solanaceae.